AGCUUGUCCACAAGGGACCUUACGGGUGUCUUCCUUUGCGAGCAGAACUUCAUUAUCGUCUUCCUCGUCCUCGGCAACCCAAACGUCAGGCGAUGGUUGGAAAACCAAGGAUUGAACGAAGUCAAUCCCAAAGAAACCCAAAAGGUAAAUAAAGGACGCGAAAAAUGAGAGAAGGGCGAUGAUGUCGGAAAAGGUGACGACAUGGAGAGCUGUGGAGGUACGGAUCUUCUCACGCCAACGGGAAAGAAGGAAAUAAACCACCGAGAAGAAGAGGGUGAAGAACAGGGCAUUCGUUAGGUGCAAGGGAAGCGGCAAUGCGUCUGAGGCUUUACCGUGAUCUUCCUCUAAAGGAAUCUUCUUCGUUGGCUUGAGAGAUUGAACAGGUUUAGUCGAAUACAGCCGGGGAGCCUCCAUACUGGGUGUCGACGGCAGCGGAAGCCCGGCAGUGGAGAAGGAGAAUAGAAGAGGAAUGGAAGUGAGAGAGGAUUUCAGUUAGUUUUACGAUUAUGGGGGUAGGUGCAGUUUGAGAUAUUGGAGUUUAGGGAGGGAAGGGGAUUAUUUAUAGGAUAGAGAAAAGAGUAGAGAGAGCGUAGUGUUUGGCACGUGUUAGUGCGGAGCUUUACCAAGUGACGAGUCAAAGAAAGAAUUUCAAGGGAAGUGUUUGGAAGCGUGCGUGCAGUGCAUGUGCAUGGUGGGGCAUUGCAUUUUCCUUUCAUUUGUUCUUUUCUCCUGCCAAAUUAUGAGAAUUUGGAGACGAUGCUGAUUUUAAAAAUAUAUUCAGGAAAAUUUACAAUUUUUUUUCUGAUAUUUCGAAAAAUAAACUGAUUUUGAAAAACCUAAUAAUAAGCUUAUUUUGUAGAAAGUGUUUUUUUUUCUUCUCGUAGGAUUACUUUUUAACUUUUUAAAUAUAUUGGUUCAUUUUGUUAGAUGAUUAAAUGUUAGUAGUUUUAUUCUUGAUUUUCAAGUUCGAUUUCUCUUCUAUUUACAUUUGUAUUUUUAUUUCAUAUUGUUUCAAGCUUUGCUUUAAUACAUUAGCUCCUCUUAUUAGAUACUUAAACAAUAGUGAUUUUAUCCUUUUAAGUCUUAGCUUCGAAUUUUCUUUUAAACACAAUUGUAUUUUUUUGUUUCACAUUGAAGUUUUUUAUUUAUUUAUUUUUAAUUAAUAAUUCUUUUAUUUAUAAAAUAAAAUAAUUAUUUCAAAUUAUAUAAUAUAAAUUAUAUUUUGAUGAAAUUGAUAUUUAUCAUUAUGUUAAAUAUAUUUUAUUUUUUAAAAGCAACAACUAUUUUGUUAUAUUUUUUUUAUAUAAAAUAUUUAGUUUCUCCACAUAUAUUGUGGGUAUGAUGAUUUCUAAUAUUAUAAAAUCAAUCAAUUAUUUCAAAUAUUAUUAUUUUUUCAUGUGCAUCGUGGGUAUGAUAUUUCAAAUAAUUUUAUAUGUUAAAUAUUUCAAUUAAUUAUUUUAAAUACAUAUACAAAGAUAUAUAAUACUAAAAUUUACUAUAUUCAUGAUAUGGAUUGAAAAAUAAACAUUACACAUAUAAAAAUUAUAUUUACUAAAGAUAAUGAUAUUUGACAAUAAUUAUUUGAUAUUUUAAAUAAAAUAAUUAUUAAUUAAAAAGAUAAAUAAAAAAACUUGAAAACAAUAUAUUUAUUAAUUAAAAAUAAAAAAAUUUGAAACAACAUGAAAUAAAAAAAAAGUACAAACUUUCUUAGAAGAGGAAUCAAACCUAAGACUUAAUGAUAAAAUCACUAUUAUUUAAUCAUAUAUACAAGGUAAAAUAAAAAUACAAACGUGAGUAAGAGAAUAAUUUAACCCAGAAUUAAUGAUAAAACCAUUAAUAUUUAAUUAUCUGACUAAAUAAAUUGAUAUAUUAAAAGAGUUAAAAGAACACGCGGUAUAAAAAGCGUUUGUUUUUUUAUUUGUUUCUCCAAAUUUAAACCUGCUAUUUUGAUAUUUUCUGUCACUUAUUUAGCAUUAUUCUGUCUUUAAAUUAUUCCUAAUUUUGGCUUGUUUUUCAUUAAUUAAUUCAAAAAGUUUAUUAUGAAUGUAUUUAAUAAAAAAGAAAUCUGGAGGUUUUUCUUUUUGCUCAUGAUUAAUUGGAUAAGUUUACAUUUUUACAAAAAACACAUUAAGACAAAGUCAGAGUGAAAAAAAUAAUUAAGCAAGAAAAAUUCAGAAAAAAAUUGACUCUUUAAUAAAAAAAUGUAAAGAUUUAUUUGUUUUAUUAUUGAAAAGAAAAUGCCAUUCUCAAUUAAUAUCAGUAAUAGUCAAAUUAAUUGGGACCAUUUUUCUUUGUCCUAAUUGGGACUAUUUUUUUUUCGCAUGUUUAUUUCAUGUUAUUUUUUAACAAAACUAAAGAAAAAAAAUUGACCAAUCUGAAUUCAAAAUAUAAUUAAAUUUUUUUAUAAAUACUUAUUAAAUUAAAGUCCAAAUUUGACGUUUAUAAUAUUUUAAUAUGCUCAAAUGAUGACUUUUUUAUAUUAAAUAAAAUCUAAUCCACAUUUUACCCCCUUCCUUAAAUUUCAGUCAGUCAAAUCACAUUAAAUUCAAAAUAGGAUGCAUAAUUAUUUAUUAUAUAUACAAGUGAUUGCAAUUUACAUGCAUAUAUGUAUAAUAUUAGUUCAUGCAGUCACCAAUAGUUGAAUAUUAACAUUUACAAUUAUUUCACUCAUUGCAAUGAGUCAAAAAACUAGUGCUUUGCCCUUUUCUUUUUCCCGAUAAAAUGUAUUAUAUAUAUAUUAGCAAUGCAAAGUAGAUAAUCUCAUAUUAAUCGAGAAAAGAUUUUUAAGAGGAUUUAAAUACAGUUUUACCUUUUAAUAUCAUUAUUAUUAAAGCUAAAGGUUUAACACAUAUGUGUUGUCAUCUCCUGCUUGACUCAGUUUGUGUUUACUAUAUGUAUUGUGUGUCUUACUAUUGUAGAAUAUUCUCAAUAGAGGAGGAAAAUCAUCUAUUAUUUUUAAAAAUUGAAAUUGUUAUUUUACUAUUUUAUUUUAUUUUAGUGUUUAAUGUACCUCCCACGAUAGUACAAGAAAAAUAAUAUGAAAUAGACGAUAAGAUUGAAGUAAUUUUCUUUUUCCAAAAUAAAAAGCAUGCAUGAGAAUUAUUCAUCACCAUGUGCUAAAGACUUGGACUGUUUAUCAAAUUUUUCUUCAAAAAAUCAUAUAAUUCGUAAUGAAAGUAUAUAUAUAUAUAAACAUAGUCAGGCCAACCAAUGUAGAAAAAAAACUAUCAUGAUAUCAUCUUUUCUUAUUGCCCAGUAUUUAUUUAGCAAAUAUUGACUGUAAUAUUGUCAUGAUUAGACCAUAUUAUUUUUGGACAAGAACAAGGUCAUUUCCACACAGGAAGAAGUGCAGUCCAUGCUCAUAGCCUGCUUAUGCAUUUACAGAAAAAAAAAAGGAAUUUAGGUAAAAUUUGAUGUUAAUAUUUCAGUGAAUAUUAAAUAGUUGUAUAUGAUAUUGAUAUUAUAGGUAGAUGAAUUGAGUUUAAGACGGUUCAACCUAUAAAUACCUUUAGCAUGUUUAUGUAAGGAAAAUAAUAUAGUUUUUUUACGAGUUUUUUAAUGAAGGAUAUUAUACCUUAAUUUCAUAUAAUAUAUGUGUAUUUAUACUAUUGUUUAAGUUUUUGAUUGGGCUAGUGUCACUCACAACCGGGUCACUAAAUUUAGUAGGAAAAUUAUUGAAACAUCCUUUCAUAAUUAAAAUAAGUUGCAUUAUUCGAAGGUAUUUUAGUCUUUUUAUUUUUAAAAAGCAAAUAAAAAUAUGUAUAUGGUGGAAUUUGAAUCCAAACUAAUUGGGUUAAAAAAAUAUAUUUAAUUUAUCACUCAACUAAAUUUCUUUAUUUUGAUAUUUUUAUACUUUUUUUAUUUUAUUAUGCAUAAUUUAUUUUAAUACCGUACAUAUUUCAUGUAUUAUUAUGUUUAAUUAGUUUCAAAUCAUACGUUUUAUUAUUUAUUAUUCGUAAACACAUAUUUAUAUUCUAAAUUUGUUGUUUCUACACGUAUAUGUGUGAGAUAAAGUUUCUAAUAUUUAUAAAAUAAUAUAAUCCUUAAAAAAGAAACACAAACUUCUAGGUAAGUGAGGUUUUUACCAAAUGACACAUGUUGGUAAUUGACACUUUUGGGUGGUUAUUGAUGGCAUUGUAAAGUCUUUUGAUCUUAACAUUAUGCAAAUCAAAACCUUAGUAUUGCACAAACAAUGCUUUUUGGAUAUUUAGAAUAAUAUGAUUAUCAUAAGUUUAACAAAUAUCUUAUGCGGAAUUGAAGUUGGUUAUUAGAUUUGACGAAGAACACUUGAUAUAUUGAUUUUUCUCUCUUAACAUUUUUCCUUUAAUUACACAAAUCCUAAGCAAUGAAGGCAAAUUUUUUAUGUAAGUGGAAUUAAUUUAUAAUGAUAAACUUUUAAUAUGAUCAAGUAACCUAAUGAAAUGAUAAAAUUUAAUUUCUAUUAAAGUAAAAUUUUUAGGCCUCAUGAUUUUAGACUUAUUGGGUCCACAUAAUUGGGCUUAAAAUCUUACAUUCUCUCAUUUGGUCUAAUCAGAUAAAACAUAAACUUUAAUAGAACAAUUGUUGAGUGCGCAUAAAAAUAAUAGAAAAUUUGUCAUUAAAAUUUGAUUAGGUUGACCUCAUAUAAUGUGGCAUAUAAUUAACAGAAAAUAAACAUGUUAAAUUGACAAAUUUUGAUAGAAACUACCAACGACAAUAAUAACCAAAUUAGAAUCUUUAAAUUAAAAAGAGAAGAUUGAAAUUUUAACUUUUAAAGUACAAGAACCCAAUCUCAAAUUCAUUACAAGUACAGGGACUAACAACACAUGUUAGCUUCUUCUUUUUUUGAGGUAAAAAAAAUAAUCAAUAUAUGACCAACAUGCAAUAAAAAUUUGUUUUAUUUUAAAUAUUAAAUUACUUUUAUUUUAAUUAAAAUUUUUAAUUUUUUUAAUUUAACAAUUGACCCGAGUGAUAAAGUACUUGCAAAUAAAUAUUUUGUGGGCAAAGAUUUAAUCAUUAAAUAUUACAUUUUUAAUUAUUUCAUUUAAGUAUUUUGUAUAAAAAUAGUAAAAGGCGAAAACAUUAAUACUAUAAUUGUGAGACACCUCACAUGCGAUCCAAUAGUCUAAUCCAAAUUGGCGACAUCACAUUAUAUUGUCAGAGUAACUCAGACUAACUAGAUAAACAAAUAAAUCACGUAUAAUUUCAAUUAAAUCACGUGUACAUGUUUAAUGAAUGUCAAUUGAUCUAGUUUAAAGUAUUUAGGAAUUGUACUUGAUCAAAUAUGGAGUUGGGAUUCGAAUCCAAACUCAUUUAUCCAAAUUUUAUAGGGAGUUUCAAGACAUGACCUUCAUGUCUCGAGACACUAAUAAAAUAUGGUCUACAAUGAACAUUUAAAUGUAUUCAAUCACAAACCAAUUCAUACUUAACUUAAACAAACUUUAUACCAAUUUCACAUGCAUGAAUUUAACAAACAAAUAUAUAACCAAAUAUCCGAACAAUUUAACAAUCAAGUCACCUCAACUUAAUGUAGUUAAAUAAAUGGCUUAAUACUUAUAUCCAUGCAAACUCAUUCAUUACUCAAGCAUUAAAACUCAACAAAAGAAACCUUAUAGGUCCAUAGCUAACCAAAACAUACCAUAUUGACCAAAACAAUAUUUAACUCGAGUUGAAUUAUUGACCUUAGAUGUUUUACAAUUUUAAUCUACUAAAAUCCUGUCCGAGACAUGUGCACAAAAACAAACAUAACUAUACGUUGAGUAUUAAAUACUUAAUGGUGCUAGCAUAAUCUGAAUUCAAAUAUAUAACAUUAAGCAAUUUAAUAUACUAAACGAAAACUUCAUUUAAUAGAUUCAAUGUCAUAAUACUAAGAUGGCAUUCUAGUAUUUCAUUUACCCAAUUUCAUAUGGAGCAACAAUCAUCCCGUAACUUUAUACCAUUUCAUUUAUUCACCCUCAUGGUAUUUAAGUAACAUUUACCUGUGCAAUCAAUUUUCUCCUCGUGAGGCAGGUUCAGACGUCACGAUAUCCAAAACAAUAUUGAAAUUGAAAGUCUUGGGGUCUCAGUGUCAUGAUACCCAUCUUUGGUAUCGCUAUAUCACUAGAGUUGACCUUAAGUUUUUUCACUUCAGCAUUGUCAGGGGUAUCACGACUUUCAUGGCCUCAAUGUCGCGAUACCCAGUUCUGAAUGAUAAUUUCUUCGAGUUCGAGCCAUUAUUGACUUCCUACACCAACUCAAUCAUAUCAUUAGGUCCCUCAUGACACCAUUUGGCCAACUUGGGUCUCAAUAUGGCAUAAAACUAAUAAAAAUCAUUAAUUAAUAACAAAAGCAAAAAAUCGACAAAAGUAAAGAAAAUACACUUAUAUUGCUUGAGAAUAAGUUCCUCGAGUGUAAUGGAAAGCCUAAUUUGACAUAUCAAAUUACGUUAGAUCACUUAUUCGAUACGAGUUCAAACCGUGUUACCCCCUUACCCUACCCCUAAUAUUGUACAAAAAAACUAAUUGCUAAUCUUCUAAUGUAGUCUCUGUACUAUAGUGCUUAAUGAUUUAUAUAAUUUAAUUACUAAAUAAUUUUAUUUCUAAUUUAUCUUUUAUUUUUUUAAUCUCGCACUCACUUUGUAAUUACUCUAUCAAAAUUUUGAACAACUCAAUUUAAUAAAUUCGAUCCCACAAUUAACUUUUUCAACAUAAAAAAAAUCGAAUCAUUACAAUAUUAUAAGAAAAAAACUUUUAAGUAUAGGUGUAGUUAGGAGUCCAUGUUUUUUUAUUUAUUUUUUUUAUAUUAAUCUAGUUUGAAGAAAAAACAAAAUAAUAAAAAGUAGCAAAUUCUAAAAAUAUCAUUUCCUAUAAAAAAAAAGUUGUGAAAUUAAAUUAUUAUCUUGAAAGAUGUUUUGGCGAUAUUAUAAGAAGUAUAAAUCAUGUUUUAAAAUUAUUUUGAUUUAAAUUUCGUCACGUGUAGACCGUAUUGAUCUAUAAUAUGUUUAGUUUGUGCUUUGUUAUUUGUUGGAGUUUUAACCAAAUUUUUUUAGUAAGUGUAGACUAAACUGGUGAACGAAAUAUAUCAUUAGGUACUAAAUGAGUAAAACAUUUUAAAUACCAAAAUAAAAAAUAUAUAAUUCAAGAGCUCAAACAUGAAUAAAGGCUAAUAAAUUUUGUGAUAAUUUUCUCUCACUUACUAUAGGCAAAAAAUUUCAAAAAAGAAAUUAUUUGAUAUAUUAUUUGUCGAAACCACCCUUUUUAUUUAAAAUUUUUAUGUUUAAUGAAAAAUGGGAAUCGACCUUUUGAAAAUAAAAUAUAGAGUCGCCACCAAUCUUUUGUUUUGGUGUGAUCGGAUCACAUAAGAAUUUGGUUAUUUUAAUAAAACAUUUUUGGUUUACUAAAACGACGAUUUUGGUCUACAAACUUUUGAGAAAACGGGUUCAGAGUCGGUUAAGCAUGAGGAAGGAUUAGCACCCUCACUACGCCCAAAAUUGAUACCGAAUCGAUUAAAUGCUGUCCUUAUGUCUAAAAUUUAAAGAUAUUUUUUUGAAAUGUGGUUCUUUUUUGUAAGACUUGAGUAACCCGAGUUGGUUGCAAAAAAUCUUCUUGUUUUGACUUUCGAAAGCUUAUAAUUCGAAAAUUACAAAAGGGUGCCCAACUAUUUGGUCCAACGAAAAACCGAAAUCCAGCACAGUAGGGCGCGAUUCCUCGAAUUUCCAAACAUUGAACAUUGCCUCACCUUAGAAAACACGAGUGAAAUUUCGAAGAGAUAUUCGAUUAUUUUGAACAAACGGGAGAUUACAACCCAACACGAUAGGGCACUAUUCCCUGAAUUGCCAAACACUGGACAUUUCUUUCGUUUUAAAGGGUUUUUAGAAAACGUGAGUGAAAUUCCGAAGGAAUCUCCGAUUGUUUUGAACAAACGAAAAUGCGCAACCCAGCACGAUAGGGCACGAUUUUCGAAUCGCCAAACAUCUAAGAUCACCUUCGUUUUGGGAGGUUUUUUAAUAAACAUGAGUGAAAACCUAAAGGAAUAUCCGAUUGUUUUGAACAAACGAGAAAUCACAACCCAGCACGAUAGGAAAUGAUUCCCGAAUUAUCAAACACCGAGUAUUGGCUUCUUUUUAAAGGAUUUUUAGAAGAAAUGAGUGAAAUUUUGGAGGGAUAUUCGAUUAUUUUGAGCAAACGCGAAAUUGCAACCCAGCAUGUUAGGGCACGAUUCCGCGGAUUGUCAAAAUAUCAAAUCUCAUCUUCGUUUUAAAGAAUUUUAAAUGAAUAAUUAUAAAACUAGCUUAAAAUGUAUUAAUGCAUUUUUGAAAUGAGACGAAUUUAACCAAAAAAAUUUGGGUUUAAAAAAAAACCAUAUUUCAUGAACUAAGUGGAAAACGAUGAUAUGGGGGAAUAUGUGUACACACCAAAACACGACAACGGAAUAGUGAAGGCAAUACAAUUUACUUAACCAACUAACGAGAACUUAAAUGACUAAGCAUAACUAGUUUGGAAAUAUAACUCAAUUUCAACCAUGCAUGGAGAAUAAUUAACAUGACGAUAUGAAACAAAUGAAUAAAUAAUAUGCAACGAAAACAUACAUGGCAUAAUAAAAAUUAUUACUAUUAGAUGCACAAAACAAAAUGCAGAUCAAAUGAGCAAUAUGGUGUAAAACUAUUUUAAAACAAUGAUAAGUACAUGACACAUACUAUAUGAAUUGAUGAAUUGACAAGUAAAAAAAAAAUUUGUUAAUGGCAAGCUUAAUAAACACACGCAAUCAUUAGAAUAUAUAUAAUAUAAAAGAAUAAUAAUGAAGAUAUAUGACAAGAUAUAAUACACAAAAUAGAUUUAUAAAACAUAUGUACAUGUAAGUUUAUAAAAAAAAACAUGAGAUUAAUAAUGAGAUAUAUAUAAAUUUUUAAAAUAGUUUCAUAUAUACAUAAUUAUUAAAACAUAUAUUAUGGAAUAAAUAUUUUUAAUCAAAUAGCAUACAAAAUAUUGAGGAAUAUUAGCUAAAAAAUGACAAUUUUCAUAAAAAAUUUUAAAAUAUGUAUCAAAGAUGAAAAGAUUACAAAAAAAAAAUGUAAAAUAAAACAUAAUCUUAGAAACAUAAUCAAUUUACACAUUGCGCAGAUAUAUAUAACAUUAAAAGUAAUUAUUCGUAAAAGCAUGUAAUACAUACAAAAUUAACUUGAUUUUAUUGUAAGUUAUAUGAUAGAUUUAAAAGCACACCUAUAUAGAAAGAAAACCAUACGCGUAGAAUACGCGAGUUUAAUAAUGUAUAGAUUAAAUGUGGUAUCCACAAUGCAUAUACAUAUAAUGAUAAUAACUUAAAAGAUAUUACAUAGGAUUAUAUGAUACAAUACGAGAAUAAAUUUAAAAAGGAAUCAUGUGCGUAAAAUAAUAUAAGGUUGAUUAAUAUAUACAUGCAAUAAAAUUAAUUUUGAUACAAAGUACAUAUAUAUAUGUAGCGACGUAAAAAUUUUAGCUUAGCUUGGUCGCUAAUUGUGGCGAUUUAUUGAAAUUUUUUUUGAAAUUUGACGUUUGAUUUUUGAAAUAAAUAGGGAGUCACCACCGAUCCUUUUUCCUAGGUGUGAUCGGACACCUAUUAGAUCUUUUAUUAAAACAAAUAAAAGGCUGAGUUUAGGUCUACGUUAAAAUCCAGAGAAAAUUUAGGGUUCGGGAGUCGGUUACGCACGAGGAAGGUAUUGGCACCCUCGCGACGCCCAAAAUUGGUAUCUUAUUAAACACAUGUUGUCUUGAUUUUCAAAAAUACGAAUUCAAUUUGACAUUUAAGUGUGAUCCGAUUGAAGGAAAUGAGAAGUUGCAAGUUUUUUUGUUUUUAGAAGGACGUCCCGUUUUUAACACGAGCCGAUUAAUUUCACCCAACAUAGCAAUGAAAUCGAUGACUUAAUGUUAAAAUUGGUACAUUGCCUUAUUCUUAAAAUUAAAAUGUAAAAAGUUUUUAAAAUGAUAGUAAAAAAAAAUCCAAGAAUAUUAUUGUCAAAAAAUGCGAACAAUGAUGGGAAUAAUAAAAUAUAUAAAAUAUAAAAUAUCAAAAUAUUAGAAUAAUAAUAAUUAAUAUUGACAAAUAAAAAAUAAAAUAGAAAUAAAAAAGAUGUACAUAAUAUAUAUAUUAGAAAUAAUAAUGAUGUUUAAAAAAAAUACUAUUAAUAAUACUACAUCAAUAUGUACAUAUAUAAAAAAUAAAUACAUGAUAAUAUUAAAAAUAUGUACAUAAUAUAGUGUUAAAAAUACAUACAUAAUAUAGUUAAGAUAUAUACAUAAGAUAACAUGUAGAAAAAAAAUAUAUAAAUAAUAUAAUAUUAAAGAUAUAUAAAUAAAAUAGUAUAAAAUAUAUAUAUACGUAAUAUAAAAUUUAAAAUAUACCUAAUAUAUUAAAAGAAUAUAUAUAAUAUAAUAUUAAGAAAUAUAAUAAUAACAAAAAAAGAGAGGGAGAGGGUGGGUGAUUUUCGGCCACAAGGCCGGCCAUCGUCCGGUCGCCGGACCGCCGCCGGCGCCACCGUACACGGCAGCCGGACCUCAAAAAAACUUUUUCGGUAAAAAUGGGUAAGCUUCCUCCUUUUAUUUUUACUUUCGUAUAAAAGAAACAAAAUAAGAUUGAAAGGAAAACAAUAAGUAAACAAAGAACUUAAAAUGAGAAUAGACAAAGAAACCUCUUUUGCUUUGAUUUUUGAUUAAUCUCCAAAAAAACUAGCUUCUCCAAAAACUAGCCUUCACAAUAACUCUUCUCCUUGAUUACUUUAAAAAGAAACCUCUCCAAAAAUCCUUUACAAUAAUUUUCUCUCCCAAAAACUCUAAAAAAAAAAAAAAUCCCCCCCCAUAUACAAAAUAUGAGAAGGCUUAUAUAGCCAUUUACAAAAUAUUUUUUUAUUUUUUAUGUCUUCAUUUGUAGGUACAAGUGAUGGUGGAGAAGGUGUGGCUAGUGGAGUUGGUGGUGGAAAAAGAGUGGCUAGUGGAGUUGGUGGUGGAAAAGGUGUGGCUAGUGGAGUUGGUGGUGGAAAAAGAGUGGCUAGUGGAGUUAGUGGUGGAAAAGGUGUGGCUAGUGGAGUUGGUGGUGGAAAAGGAGUGGCUAGUUGAGAAAAGUUUAAGUUGUGGGCUAGGUUUUUUUUUAUUUUGAUUUGGGCUUAGGGUUUGGGCCAUUGGGGUUUUGAUGUAAAUUGGGCUUUGGGUAGUUAAGAUUUUGGGUUUUGGGUUUAAUUUUGGUGGGUUAGGUAAGGCUAAAUUGGGUUUUGAUGUAAAUGGGCUAAAAUUGGCCUACAACAGCUGCCCCUCUUUGCUUGUUAUCGUGUAACGAGAAUAGAGCAAAGAUAUAAAGAAAGGCCAAUUUUGCCCGGUCUUGCUAAAUAUGGACUUCUUUGGUGCUCUUCUCAUCCAAGUAGUCUCUUUCCAGUCCAUCGCAUCUUGUAGCUUUGGUUCAAUCCACUGCAAAUUCGGAGAUAUGCCUUAUAGCUUCAAUCUGUUCCAAUGUAAUUCAAUAUGCUCUUCUAUUGCUUUAGUGAGAUAAGGUUUUGGGUCUUCUCUUCUGCCACUUUAGAAAGGCAAGAUCUGAUAUCCUCGAUCAACUCCACUGCAACUUCAGGGAGACAAAAUCUGGUGUCUUCAAUCAGCUCUAAUAUUGAUUCUUUACUCGGCAUGUGAUCCUGAGCUCAACUCAUUUCUCGCAAUAUGAAUUGACUCUGUAAAACUAGACAUUAAAAACAGAAAUUGAAAAUAGCUCAGCACGUGAGCCAAGGCUCAACUCACCUCUCGCAAAAGUAGAUUUUGAAAAUACCUCGACAUGUAAACCCAAGGCUCAACUCACAUCUCGCAAUAUGAGUUGAUUUUUGAAAAGCAGAAAUUCAAAACGCCUCAGCGUGUGACCCGAGGCUCAACUCACCUCUCGCAAUAUGAGUUGAUUUUUUUUGAAAAGCAGAAAUUGAAAAUAGCUCAGCACGUGAGCAAAGGCUCAACUCACCUCUCACAAUAUGAGUUGAUUCUUUUGAAAAGCAGAAAUUGAAAAUAGCUCAGCACGUGAGCAAAGGCUCAACUCACUUCUCGUAAUAUGAGUUGAUUUUUGAAAAAUAAAAAUUAAAAACAGAGUUUGAAAGACAGAAUUUGAAAAUACCUCGGCAUGUGACUCGAGGCUCAACUCACCUCUCGCAAUAUAAGUUGAUAUUUUGAAAAGCAGAAAUUGGAAAAAAACAGAAAUUGAAAAUACCUCAGCGUGUCUUGAGGCUCAAUUCACCUCUCACAAUAUGAGUUGAUUUAUUUUUUUGAAAUUAAAACACAAAAAUCGACAAUUCCUCAGCGUGCCCCGAGGCUCAACUCACUUCUUGCAAUAUGAGUUGAUUUUUGAAAAAUAGAAAUUGAAAUUACCUCAGCAUGUCCUGAGGCUCAACUCACCUCUCGCAAUAUGAGUUGAUUUUGACAAACAGAAACAGAAAUUGAAAAUACCUCAGCACGUGAGCCGAGGCUCAACUCACUUCUUGCAAUAUGAAUUGAUUUUUUUGACAAUAGAAAUUGCAAUUACCUCAACAUGUCCCAAGGCUCAACUCACCUCCCGCAAUAUGAGUUGAUUUUUGAAAAACAUAAAUUGAAACAAAAAAAUUGACAAUACCUCAGCGUGCCCCGAGGCUCAACUCACCUCUCGCAAUAUGAGUUGAUUUUUGAAAAACAGAAAUUUAAAAAUACCUCAGCGUGUCCUGAAGCUCAACUCACCUCUCGCAAUAUGAGUUGAUUUUUUUUUACGAACAGAAAUUGAAAAACAAAAAUUGAAAAGACCUCAGCAUGUGAGUCGAGGCUCAACUCACUUCUCGCAAUAUGAGUUGAUUUUUGACAAACAGAAAUUGAAAUUACCUCAGCGUGUCCCGAGGCUCAACUCACCGCUCGCAAUAUGAGUUGAUUUUUUGAAAAAUAGAAAUUUAAAAAUACCUCAACGUGUCCUGAGGCUCAACUCACCUCUCGCAAUAUGAGUUGAUUUUUUUUUACGAACAGAAAUUGAAGAACAGAAAUUGAAAAGACCUCAGCAUGUGAGUCGAGGCUCAACUCACCUCUCGCAAUAUGAGUUAAUUUUUGACAAACAGAAAUUGAAAUUACCUCAGCGUGUCCCGAGGCUCAACUUACCUCUCGCAAUAUGAGUUGAUUUUUGACAAACAGAAAUUGAAAUUACCUCAGCGUGUCCUGAGGCUCAACUCACCUCUAGCAAUAUGAGUUGAUUUUGAAAAACAAAAAUUAAAAGUACCUCAACGUGUCUUGAGGCUCAACUCAUCUCUCGCAAUAUGAGUUGAUUUUCCUUGAAAAGCAUGAAUUAAAAACAUCAAAAUACCCAAAACCUGUCCUUUGGUAGAACUCGGGUGUCUUUUCCUUUGAUUCAGUGCGACUCUCAUUCAAGAUUUCUUGCUCUGCUGGAGUACCUGUAUAUGUUAUGUAUGAUGUUAUCAUGAUAUGCACAUGUUUGUCUUAAAUGAUUUUAUGCCUACAUGAUUAUGCAGUGCUCCUUAAGCAUGUUUGUCGUAUGUCCAUUUAGCCACGAUUGUUGAGGAUCUGUGUUCAUUGCUUUGAUUCUCAACUUUCUCUUCAGGCCUUAUACCUGCCUUCAAGCUUCACGAGUAAUCGACGUUCCUCAGAUAUCACUCUUCUGCCCCCGAUUGAACUUUGUUCUUACUUUGAGACUCUUGUGCUUAUCAAAUUUUCAUCCAGGUAAUGCUUAACAUUUAUCUUGUUUAGAGUAUGUCAUUUCUCCAUUUAUCAUGUAAAUAAACACAUAAUGAGAUGCAUGAAAAAGGUCAGGUAGGGAAAAAUGAUAUUUCAUAUUCAUCUAUUUCAAAUGUGGCAAACAAAGCAAGUUAACCAAUGAGAGUAAAAAAUGUCAAAAAGAAAGAAAGGAUCGUAUUCAACGGAUACAAAUACUUUAGAUAUUCGACACAUGAACUCUUCCACGUUCCUCAAUCAAGAAUAUUUUCGAGUCUGGCUCUUUGCGUAGAAGAUUUCGAGCUUUCAGAAAUGCUUCAAAUACUGUAGUCUCACUGUUUGACCCGCUGUUAAAACGCCACGCUCUUUAAGCCAGGUUUACCUCAUUAGGACGCCCUCUCAGGUUUUCAUCCUAAUCUUUUGUGCUAAUCAAGACGCCUUUUGCGGGUUUUCGCCUUGAUCCCUCUUUUUUUUUGGAUGCCCUUUUCGGGUUUUCAUCUCAAGCAUAAUAUUUCUUCACAGCAUCUGAGUUCACUGGAUUCGGUAACUUCUUUCCAUCCAUCUUGGUAAGGAUCAAAGCUCCUCCUGAAAAUUCCUUCUUUACGACGUAUGGUCCUUCCCAAUUUGGUGCCUAUUUUCCUCGCAGGUCCUUUUGUAUUGGGAGAAUCUUCCUCAGUACGAGUUCUCUUUCGUGGAAUUCUCUUGGCCAUACUUUCUUGUCAUGGGCCGCGAUCAUUCUCUUCUGGUACAUCUGCCCAUGACAAAUUGCUCUUAGACAUUUUUCUCCGAUGAGGUUCAACUGAUCAUAUCGAUCUCGAACCCAUUCUGCUUCUUCUAACUUUAAUUCCAUUAAGACUCGCAGGGAGAGGAUCUCAACCUCAAUAGGUAGCACAGCUUCCAUUCCGUAAGCCAGAGAGAAAGGAGUUGCUCCCGUAGAUGUUCGCACAGAUGUGCGAUAUGCAAACAAAGCAAAUGGAAGCUUCUCGUGCCAAUCUUUAUAUGUUUCAGUUAUUUUCCCAAUGAUCCUCUUAAUAUUUUUAUUGGCUGCUUCAACAGCCCCGUUCAUCUUUGGGCGAUAGGGCGAGGAGUUAUGAUGCUUUAUUUGGAACUGCUCCCACACUUCUUUCAUCAUCUUAUUGUUCAGAUUCAUGACAUUAUCUGAAAUGAUUCUUUCAGGCAAACCAUACCGGUAAAUGAUUUCCUUUUUCAAAAACCUGCAAACUGCAGUCCUCGUCCCAUUGGCAAACGAAGCGGCUUCUAUCCAUUUUGUGAAGUAAUCGAUGACCACAAAAACGAAUCGAUGUCCAUUUGAUUCUUUUGGAGAAAUUGGCCCUAUGACAUCCAUGCCCCACAUAGAAAAAGGCCACGGAGAAGUCAUGACAUGAAGGGGUGAAGGGGCUACAUGAAUUUUAUCGCUGUAGAUUUGACAUUUGUGGCAUUUUCUGGCAAAAUUGAUGCAGUCAUUUUCCAUUGUCAGCCAAUAAUAACCGAGUCUCAUGAUCUUUCUGGCCAUAUUGAAACCAUUGGCAUGCAUUCCGUAAAUUCCCUCAUAGACCUCUUCAAGUAUUUUUCUGGCUUCAACAUCAUCCACACAUCUCAAAAGCAUCUGAUCCUUUCCUCUUUUAUACAGGAUAUCCCCAUCAAGAACAAAUCCCGCUGCCAUUCUUCUAAUUGUUCUUUUAUCGUUCUCAUUCGCUUGUUUGGGAUACCUUUGAUUCUUGAUAUAUUCUAAGAUAUCAUGGAACCAAGGUCGUCCGUCUACUUUUUUCUCAAUGCUACAACAGUGUGCAGGGACCUCGUAUAUGCUCAUUUUGAGGGGCAUUAUUUCUACUUCUCUACUUGCUUUGAACAUUGAAGCCAAAGUGGCUAGGGCAUCAGCCAGUUGGUUCUCUUCUCGUGGGAAGUAAUGAAAAGUUAUUUCUUUAAAUUCCUUGAUCAAUCCAGCCACUAAAUCGCUGUACUUAAUCAAUUUUGAGUCCCUCACUUCCCGCUCUCCACAGAUUUGGUAAAUCACUAGGGCUGAGUCCCCGUACACCUCCAAGAUCUCGAUGUUUCGUUCGAUAGCUGCACGAAGCCCCAUGAUACAGGCCUCAUAUUCUGUGAUAUUAUUGGUACAGAAGAAGUUCAGUCUUGCAGUGAACGGAUAAUGAUUCCCGUCUGGUGAUACCAGGAUUGCUCCAAUUCCAUGCCCUAAAGCAUUUGACGCACCAUCAAAGCACAUCUUCCAUGACUUCUCUUUUGAUGACUCGGAUUCCAUUUCUGUGAUGCACAUUAAGUCUUCGUCUGGGAAAUCAAAUUUCAAGGGCUCAUAUUCCUCCGUCGUUCGAGUCGCUAAGAAAUCAGCUAUUGCGCUCCCUUUUAUCGACUUCUGACUUACAUAGGCAAUGUCAUAUUCUGAUAGGAGGAUCUGCCAUCGUGCCAUUCUUCCUGAGAGUGCCGGUGAUUCCAUCAUGUAUUUUAUUGGGUCUAGCUUUGAAAUUAGCCAUGUCGUGUGAUACAACAUAUAUUGUCUGAGUCUCCGAGCUACCCAAACCAGAGCGCAACAGUAUUUUUCAAUGGACGAAUACUUUGCCUCAUAUUCAAUGAACUUUUUACUGAGGUAGUAGAUCGCCUUUUCUUUCUUUCCUGACUCGUCGUGUUGCCCCAGUACGCAACCCAUUGAAUUUUCAAACACAGUUAAAUACAAUAUCAAUGGUCUUCCCGGAGUUGGUGGUACUAGCACUGGAGGACUAGACAAAUAUUGCUCUAUUUUAUCAAAGGCCACCUGGCAUUCCUCAUUCCAUUCUCCAGGGUUAUGUUUUCGAAGAAGUCGAAAGAUUGGGUCGCAUUGGUUGGUAAGCUGAGCGAUAAAUCGGGUGAUGUAAUUUAAUCUCCCUAAAAAUCCUCUAACUUCCUUUUGCAUGCGCGGAGACGGUAACUCUUGAAUGGCUUUUAUUUUAUCUGGAUCAACCUCGAUACCUCUUUCACUGACAAUGAAGCCUAGCAACUUCCCCGAGGUAGCCCCAAACGUAAAUUUGGCUGGAUUGAGCUUUAACUGGAACUUUCUCAGCCUGUCGAACAACUUCUUGAGAUUCACUACAUGCUCUUCUUCCCCUCGGGAUUUAGUAAUCAUAUCGUCGAUGUAGACCUCUAUUUCUUUAUGCAUCAUGUCAUAGAAUAACGUCACCAUAGCCCUUUGAUAUGUUGCCCCAGCAUUCUUUAACCCGAAUGGCAUCACCUUGUAGCAGAACGUUCCCCACAUUGUUAUGAAGGUAGUUUCUCCAUAUCCUCAGGGGCCAUCUUGAUCUGAUUAUACCCCGAGAAUCCAUCCAUGAAAGAAAAUAAUGAAUGUUUUGUUGUGUCGUCCACCAACGUAUCAAUAUGUGGCAAGGGAAAAUUAUCUUUUGGGCUUGCUCGAUUCAGGUCACUGUAAUCCACGCACAUUCGUACUUUGCCAUCUUUCUUUGGUACCGGGACUAUGUUAGCCACCCAUUCUGGAUAUUUGGAGGCUUGUAGGAAGCCAGCAUCAAAUUGCUUCUUGACUUCCUCUUUUAUUUUCAACAGCAUUUCGAGUCUCAUCCGUCUUAAUUUUUGCUGGAUAGGCUUGCAUUCUGGCUUUAAUGGGAGCUUGUGGACCACUAAAUCUUCAUAUAGCCCUGGCAUAUCCUGGUAUGACCAUGCAAAAACAUCUUUGUACUCGCGGAGCAGAGCGAUCAAAUUAUGCCUAGUGCUCUCUGAAAUAGAAGUCCCAAUUUUCACUUCUUGUUUCCUUUCUUCAGUGCCCAAGUUUAUUGUUUCCACAGAUUCUUCAUGAGGCAAAAUCUGUUUAUCCUCUUGUUCCACCAUUCUUAACAAUUCAGGAGAUGAGACAUAGUCUUCAGCAUUUUCUUCGGCUUCGAAUUCUCCUAAACAAACAGCCUUCUCAAAAUCGAUUUCAGGACUCGUAACGGGUUUGUUCAUGCCAUUGAUAUCUGAGCACCUGAAAGUUGAAUGGAAAAGGAAACUAUAGAGGGGCAUCCAAGUAUUGGAACCAACAAACGAAAUGUUUUGGCAUGGUAUGAGGCAAAUGUACAGAUAGGCUAUGAAAUGAGGAGAUGAUUAUGAAAUUAGUGAUAAUGCGAAAGAUCGUGAUAAAAUGCAUCUUCAUUGAUAUUCAUUUAAAUGAUAAAGAGUGAAUGCAAGCUCUUACAAAAGAGUUCUAUUAUAUCUAAGGACACAAUAGAGGGUUAAUGUUUGAGCAUUACUCUGAAGACUUAUAAACUACAAGAAGGUCCUCGGCAGUCCAAUUGUUCAACAUGAAACCAGGAGGACAAGGGUGUAUCCUCGAGACAUCUUUACUCACAUCAGCCCCUUUGUCAAUAACAUUUAUACUGACAUUUUGAAGACCCUUUUCAAUUAACCAUAGCGUGUUUCGUGGACCAUCUUGUCCAGGGUACAUCAUUCCCGCAGAUGUAAAUGUUUUUGACAAAGGAGGGUACUCUAUUGGUUCCCAUUCUGGUUCUCGGCCCAAAGUUCUUGCAAUCCUUCUUUCCUGAUCUUUUUUCCACUGUCUUCUUCUUUGACGCAUGUCAGGCUAGAACCCCAAACCGUAUCGGGCCCUGUGGUGCACUGGCUUUAAAGCCCUGACUAUUCUUUGCAGAUAUCUCCCUAAACCUCUUCUCGCUCGAGCUCCCUUUCCUACGGUCAAUUUGACACCUAUUCUAGUAUUUCUUGACAGUUUUGGCACCAGAAUUCUGUUUCUCUCAACAACAAAAGUGGCAUUGACGAAUUCAAGGGAUCGGAAGGAACAUUCUAAUGCAUCUUUGUUCACUUCCAAGUACGGUGCAUCGGCAGAGACGGAUGCGACAAUGUCUUCUUCUCCCUUGACAGUGACCAAACAACCGUCCAUGAUAAAUUUCACCUUUUGAUGGAGGGAUGAUGGGACUACUUCAGCAGAAUGGAUCCAGGGUCUUCCCAAAAGGCAGUUAUAAGAGGGUGUAAUGUCCAUGACUUGGAACUUGACAUCAUAAAUGUAAGGGCCCACUUCCAAAGGGAUUUCGAUCUUUCCCAUGACUUCGCGCCUCGUCCCGUCGAAUGCCCUUACCGUGGAAUGACAGGGCCUUAAGUAGGACAAAUCCAUCGGUAUUCUAGAAAGCGUGGCCAAUGGCAUAACAUUUAACACUGACCCAUUAUCGAUGAGUACGUUCGGUAUUAUGUAGCCCUUGCAGUGAGUCGUGAUAUGUAGCGCUUUCACCGAGCCUCUACCAUUUGGCGGUAUCUCAUCAUCACUAAAAGAGAUGAAAUUAUCUGCAUUUAGAUUAUUUACCCACCUAUCAAGCUUCUCAAUGGAUAUGUUGUUGGCCACAUAAGCUUGAUUUAACACCUUCAAUAAAGUAUUCCGGUGUGGCUCUGAAUUUAACAGUAGAGAUAAAACUGAGAUUCGUGCUGGCUGCUUACUCAAUUGUUCCACCAUACUAUACUCGCUGUGCUUGAUAAAUUUCAAGAAUUCUUGAGCUUCUUCCUCAUUCACAGGCUUUUUGGUUUCUUGCACGGGUGGAAUUUCUUGCUCGACUUCGACUUCGUGCAUCACUGCUUUUCCUUUCUGUUUCAAGUCACUGUUCUAUUUUAUCUCCUUCAAAUAACAUCUUCCACUACGAGUGAAAUGACCUACUUCCCCGACGCUUCCAGUUAUGGCUUUGGGUUUUUCAUCUUCAGGUGUGACGAUAUUAACGUCAUAUUUCCAUGGUACUGUUUUAUUGUCCUUGUAAGGGAAAGGAGACGGUACUUAAAUUAUCAUUUUUGAUUUCACCAGUUCCUUCCUUGCAUCGUAAUAAAUUACGAAUGGUCGAUCGGCGCUAUACGGACAACCUGACGAUUGAUUGUCAGAGGCACAUACUUCUUUCUCAUUGGCCCCUCCUUCAUUAAUGAUCUCAAUCUCCUUAUUAUCUAUCCGGUCUUGCAGUAACCUUUUAAAUUCCUCACAUGAUUGAAUGUCGUGCCCUACAAUUCCAUGAAAAUCAUAAAGAACCUGACAUUCUUUUCUGAGAUUAUCGCCGGGGCGACAGAGCAAUCCAUUCUUAACCAGUGCUUCUCAGAUUUUCUGCAGAGGCGUCCUUAUUUCUGAAACACAUCUUCUGACUUGCCAUUCAUCUUCUUUCCCCACUGUGCUUACAUUCCCUUCAGUAUGGUUAGGGAACGGGUUCCCAGUUACAUUACUGGUACUAUCGAAUCAUAGGAUACCCGCAUCAAUUAGUCCUUGAACUCUCCUCUUAAAGGCUAGGCAAUUUUCCGUGGAAUGUCCCUGGUUUCCCGCAUGGUAUUCACAACUAGCGUUUAGGUCGUACCAUUUCGGGUAUGGGGGCCUCAAGGGUGCCAUAUAAUGCGGGGAUAUCAAUUGCUUCUCCAAAAAUUUUGGGUACAGUUCCCCAUAUGACGCAGGAAUAGGGGUAAAUUGUAGUCUUUCGGAAUUGGGUUUUACUGGCCUCUGCUCAUUUUUGGGUUGACCUUGGGCGGGUAUUAUAUUUUGUGGGAAUGUGGUGGUUGGUCUCGGGUUACUUGUGGCGUAAACGGGGUAAGAAGAGUAAGGAGGCGGUGUUUGGUAGUAAGGGGUUUGAGGAGGGUAAUAGAAAUUCGGAGGUGGAUAAUUUCGAGGUCGAGGUUGGUUUGGAUAUGGGUUAGGGGCAUAACGGCUUCCCAUUCCCACCAUGUGGGUUUCUGGUUCUUUCUUCUUCAUGGGCGCUGCCCUUCUUGAACUUUCUUGACCUUCCAUACUACCGCUCUUGACAGCAUUCUCUAUAAGCUCACCGGAUAUUACAAUAUCCGCAAACUCCUUCGUGGCACUUCUCACUAGUUUGUAAUAAAACGGCGCCUUUAAGGUGUUGAUAAAGAGAACGGUUAUCUCCGUUUUUGUUAGUGGGGGUUCCACUUGGGCCGAGACGUCUCUCCAUCUCUGCACAUACUGUCUGAAGGUCUCUGAUGGUUUUUUCUCCAUCAUUUGCAAGGUCAUCCGGUCUGGCACCAUGUCUGAUACAUGCUUGUACUGCUCGCAGAAUGCAGACGCCAAGUCCUUCCAGGAUCGAAUCUUUUCUCUACUAAGUUGGUUGUACCACCGAAGAGCUGACCCUGUUAGCUAUCUUGAAAGCAAUGUAUGAGUAGCUUAUCCUCGUUCACAUAACCGGUCAUUUUUCGGCAAAACAUGACAAGAUGCGCCUUUGGACAUCUCGUGCCAUCGUAUUUUUCGAAAUCAGGCACCUUGAACUUCGAAGGCAGAACUAAAUCGGGCACCAAACUGAGCUCUUUGGCACUUAAUGCAGAGAAGGCUUCAGUACCCUCUAUUACUUUGAGUCUUUCCUCUAAGCUCCUAUACUUCUCUUGAGCCUCACAAUCGUCCGUUCUCAACCUGGCUACUUCCGCUGGAUCGUCCGAAUCUGGAAUAAUUGGAUUGGCAGGAUUAGCCUCAGAAUUUGAUAUGAAUAUUCCUUGCCCUAAAUGAGUAUAUGGCACCAGCCGUUGCUCUGGGUCUGUGGGUUCUCCUUGGGUGUACCCUCUUUGUGCUGCGUGGGCGUGUGGUGGAGUGAAUCCGGGGGGAUAGAGCGGGUCUUGAUUGUGAUUAGCUAUUGAUCGAGAUUCCUCAAUGUCAGGGCUCUGCAUGGGUCCCUUUCCUUUAACUAAAGCUGACAUCAUCUCCAUCAUCUUGGCCAUUUGAUCAUUCUGUUCAAGCGAUUCUUCUCUUGAUCUCACCAUUAAGUCUCUCGUCUCUUGCUGUGACCUAGCCAACUGCUCUUGCAAUUCCUUUUGAAUUCUCUCCAUCCUUUCAAUCCUUUCAUUGAAUUCGGCCUCCAUUACUCUAGUUUGUCGGCGCGUUCUAUACGAAUGACGUGGUUCCAGUCUUGUGGUAUUACAACUGCGAAUUAUAUAUUUUAUCUUCAGCGACCGAGUAUGGGAUAUGCAAUGUAUGAAUGAAUGCAUGAAUGAAUGCAUGAAUGUUAAAUGAAUGUCAGUCAUGAAUGAAUAUGCAAAAAUUUGGUGUUAAUUUCAAGAUAGCCCCUAUUUAGGCAUUUCCUUAAUCAAAGGAGUAUUACACAACGUUUCGGUCACUCUUAUAAUUGACUCCUCCAUUAGAAACCCGUUUUUGGCAACCAAUCUCUAAUCAACACCUUCCUAACAAGAUGCCUUCGAUGCAUGAUGAAAAAUAAAAAUACAGAUAAACGACCUUGGUUAGCGCAACACAUAUAAACAGAGAAAAACUGUGGAAAAUUUAACAAAUUAAGCUACUUGGUCCAGUAGACUCGAUUCCCUUGCUUAGAAAGCACAAAUGUAAAAGAAAUAGAAGGUAAGAUGUGCUUUUCCCGUGUACUUAUUUCGGUGACUACUAAACGAGUGGAGGUUCGGCAUGGCUCUAGUUGGGUGGCUCGUAUGGUUCACUAUAUGCGGUUUUGGUUCUAGACAGGUACUCGAAUUACUCGUACUAUCAUCUGCUAAGAUUAGCACGAAGCCUCGGUCAUAACCCAUCACAGGCUCACGAGUUCAAUUCGAGGGAUUACAUUUACUUAUGCUUAUGCGGAGGGACAAGUUAACUCACGAAAGCAUAAGUCAUAUGUAACCCGAAAGUAUUCACCAGCCUGUGCGGAGGGACGAGUUAACUCACGAAGGCAUAGCGUUUACUUUCACUUAAACGGACAGAGCCCGGAUAGAGAGCUUAUGUUAUGCAAAAUGCAAGUGCACGGUGUGUGGGAGAAACUUGCAAUCCUUCCAUUUAUUUUAAAACUACAAAACUAAAACGAAAGAUAAAACAAAUUAGGAGAUACGUAUGUAUGAUUUUUUUGAAAACAAAACUUAAGGAUCAUGAUUAAAUAUUAAUUUGAACAUGGAAAUUUGAAAAUUUUGACAACACGCGUUUAAUUCCAGACACGACUCUCAACAAGGCUGUCUCCAGUGGAGUCGCCAGCUGUAGCGACGUAAAAAUUUUAGCUUAGCUUGGUCGCUAAUUGUGGCGAUUUAUUGAAAUUUUUUUUGAAAUUUGACGUUUGAUUUUUGAAAUAAAUAGGGAGUCGCCACCGAUCCUUUUUCCUAGGUGUGAUCGGACACCUAUUAGAUCUUUUAUUAAAACAAAUAAAAGGCUGAGUUUAGGUCUACGUUAAAAUCCAGAGAAAAUUUAGGGUUCGGGAGUCGGUUACGCACGAGGAAGGUAUUGGCACCCUCGCGACGCCCAAAAUUGGUAUCUUAUUAAACACAUGUUGUCUUGAUUUUCAAAAAUACGAAUUCAAUUUGACAUUUAAGUGUGAUCCGAUUGAAGGAAAUGAGAAGUUGCAAGUUUUUUUGUUUUUUAGAAGGACGUCCCGUUUUUAACACGAGCCGAUUAAUUUCACCCAACAUAGCGAUGAAAUCGAUGACUUAAUGUUAAAAUUGGUACAUUGCCUUAUUCUUAAAAUUAAAAUGUAAAAAGUUUUUAAAAAUGAUAGUAAAAAAAAAUCCAAGAAUAUUAUUGUCAAAAAAUGCGAACAAUGAUGGGAAUAAUAAAAUAUAUAAAAUAUAAAAUAUUAAAAUAUCAAAAUAUUAGAAUAAUAAUAAUUAAUAUUGACAAAUAAAAAAUAAAAUAGAAAUAAAAAAGAUGUACAUAAUAUAUAUUAGAAAUAAUAAUGAUGUUUUAAAAAAAUACUAUUAAUAAUACUACAUCAAUAUGUACAUAUAUAAAAAAUAAAUACAUGAUAAUAUUAAAAAUAUGUACAUAAUAUAGUGUUAAAAAUACAUACAUAAUAUAGUUAAGAUAUAUACAUAAGAUAACAUGUAGAAAAAAAAAUAUAUAAAUAAUAUAAUAUUAAAGAUAUAUAAAUAAAAUAGUAUAAAAUAUAUAUAUACGUAAUAUAAAAUUUAAAAUAUACCUAAUAUAUUAAAAGAAUAUAUAUAAUAUAAUAUUAAGAAAUAUAAUAAUAACAAAAAAAAGAGAGGGAGAGGGUGGGUGAUUUUCGGCCACAAGGCCGGCCAUCGUCCGGUCGCCAGACCGCCGCCGGCGCCACCGUACACGGCAGCCGGACCUCAAAAAAACUUUUUCGGUAAAAAUGGAUAAGCUUCCUCCUUUUAUUUUUUACUUUCGUAUAAAAGAAACAAAAUAAGAUUGAAAGGAAAACAAUAAGUAAACAAAGAACUUAAAAUGAGAAUAGACAAAGAAACCUCUUUUGCUUUGAUUUUUGAUUAAUCUCCAAAAAAACUAGCUUCUCCAAAAACUAGCCUUCACAAUAACUCUUCUCCUUGAUUACUUUAAAAAGAAACCUCUCCAAAAAUCCUUUACAAUAACUUUCUCUCCCGAAAACUCUAAAAAAAAAAAUCCCCCCCAUAUACAAAAUAUGGGAAGGCUUAUAUAGCCAUUUACAAAAUAUUUUUUUAUUGUUUAUGUCUUCAUUUGUAGGUACAAGUGAUGGUGGAGAAGGUGUGGCUAGUGGAGUUGGUGGUGGAAAAAGAGUGGCUAGUGGAGUUGGUGGUGGAAAAGGUGUGGCUAGUGGAGUUGGUAGUGGAAAAAGAGUGGCUAGUGGAGUUAGUGGUGGAAAAGGUGUGGCUAGUGGAGUUGGUGGUGGAAAAGGAGUGGUUAGUUGAGAAAAGUUUAAGUUGUGGGCUAGGUUUUUUUUAUUUUGAUUUGGGCUUAGGGUCUGGGCCAUUGGGGUUUUGAUGUAAAUUGGGCUUUGGGUAGUUAAGAUUUUGGGUUUUGGGUUUAAUUUUGGUGGGUUAGGUAAGGCUAAAUUGGGUUUUGAUGUAAAUGGGCUAAAAUUGGCCUACAACAAUAUAUAUUAAUAUUUAAAAGAGAUUGUAUAAGAAAAUUAAAAGAGUUUAAUGCAAAAAGAAAUUCGAAGUGGUUAUUUCAUAAAACAAAACAAAAUCAUGCAUGUACAAAUGUAUAUGUAUACAACAAAUAUAAUAUAUUAAAAAACAAGAUAUUGACAUGAUAAAAAUCUUCAAAACAACUGUACAAAUAAGCAAAUAAGAAUAAAAGGUUACAAGCCAAAAGGAUUUAAUUAGAAUCGAUCCAAAACGAAAGGGAUAAUCUGAAAAUAAAGUAAUAAUAAUAAAAGGAUCAAUAUUCAAUGCGCGAAAACGCAUAGGGACUAAAACUGGCAAUAUACCAGAUACCAAAACGUUACGUUUAGGCGCGGAUUAGAUUGGAAACAAAUUUAAAUUACAAGGAAAAAAUUAAAAAAAAUAAAAAAGGAGCAGAUGGGCCGAUUUAAAUGCGGUGCAAAAGUGGAGGGAUUUAACUUGCAAAUAACCCCUCACCGCAAUGACGCGUGGAUCCUGAGAGUCAAAGAACCAGAUCGGGUCGGGCAGAAAGGGGGUGGCCUAGACGAUGUCGUUUGAGACCAUUUUUAUUGGUCUAAACGGUGUCGUUUCUACUACCAUAAAAAGGCUAAACCAUGCCUUCAUUCAGCCGAAACCCUAGAGUAACCCUGGCUUUUCUUUUUUUCCUUAGCUGAACCCUAAGUCACUGCCCCAAACUGACGAUUCUCAUCCCCCAGGCACGAAUUACUCACCCAAUCCCGAAGGAUGAUUUUUAGCCUCAAAAUCUCCUCCUGGCCUCGACUUUAACAAAGCAGAAGGAGAUCUACGGCGUACCCCCGGUAAGGUUUCGUUUCUUUUUUCUUUUAUGCACUCAAAACUUGAAAGAACGACUGAAGAUUCAGAAAUAAAUGAACUGGGCUAAGGAUAAAAGAAAAGCCUCAGAGAUUGGAAUCGGAAUCACCUUCGAAUGCUCGUUGCUUUUUUUGUAUAUUGCCUUUGUUUUUCAUUUUCUAUUGCUUCUGUAUGCGUAAAAAAGGGGAACCCCUAUACAAUAUAAAAUCCUCGGUUUUAUAGUCGAAUGUUCAAAAAAGAAAUAAAAGAAUACAAUUUUUGUUCUUUUUUCGUAUUGGCCAUUAUUGCUGCUGUCGUUUUGUCCGUUUCUUUGCAGGUACAAAGUGUGCGUUGGUGCUCGGGUACGGGGCUGUGUGUUGGCAUCGUACGGAGACUAUGCUGGCGCGGACGUGGCUGCUGAACGGUACAGAGCAUACGACGCUGGGGCUAGGCUCGUCUGCGGUUACGGCGCGAAAGUGAGGAGGAAGCUCUAGGGUUUCUUUUCUCAAAAUACUGGGCCUAACGGGCUAGUAAUUGAUAUUGUGCUGUAGGGCAUUGAUUAAUGGACUGUUUUGUUUAUUUGGGUUUUAUGUUUAAGUUUGGGCUAUUAGGUUUGGGUUUAAGUUUAGGCCAUUGGGUUUGGUUUUAGGAUAUUUGUAAAUGGACAUUUAUUUAAUUAUUGGGUUUUUUACUAUUAGGUUUGAGGUUAAUGGGCCGGGCAAAUUUGGCCCACUACAGUUGCCCCUCUUUGCUCAUUGUCGUGUAACGAGAAUAGAGCAAAGAUUAUAAAUGGGCCAAUUUUUCCAGGACCUGCUGAGUCUCGAUUUCUUUUGGCGCUUCUUUUCUUCAAGUAACUUCAAUAUGCCCCACUGCAACUUCAAGGAGACUCGGUUCACGUGUUUUUAUCCUGCUCUACUGCAACUUCAGAGAGAUGAGAAUUGUGACUUCGACCUGCUCCACUGCGACUUCAGGGAGACAAGAUCUUGCAAUUUUCGGCCUAUUGCCCUACUACUUAGGGGGUUAAGGCUUGUUUUCUUCGAUCUGCUCUACUGGAGACGAGAUCUGCAAUCUUCGGCCUACUCCGCUACAACCUUAGGGAGCUAGGAUAGUGGCUUGAAUCUUGCUUCACUGCAAUUUUAGGAAGGCUAGAUUCACCGUCUUUGAUCUGCUCUACUGCAACCUCAGGGAGACAAGAUCUAAAAUUUCAGCCUACUCCACUACAACUUUAAGGAGCUAGGUUGGUGGCUUAAAUCUGCUUCACUGCAACUUCAGGAAGCCAAGAUUCGCCAUCUUCGAUCUGCUUCACAGCAACUUCAGGGAAAUAAGAUCUAAAAUUUCAGCCUACUCCACUACAACUUUAGGGAGCUAGGUUGGUGGCUUAAAUCUGCUUCACUGCAACUUCAGGAAGCCAAGAUUCGCCGUCUUCGAUCUGCUUCACUGCAACUUCAGGGAAACAAGAUCUAAAAUUUUAGCCUACUCCACUACAACUUUAGAGAGCUAGGUUGGUGGCUUAAAUCUGCUUCACUGUAACUUCAGGAAGCCAAGAUUCACCGUCUUCGAUCUGCUUCACUACAACUUCAGGGAAACAAGAUCUAUAGGAUUCGCCAAUGUCACUACACUGUCUUCUAAAGACAUGAUUUGUAAAAUUGGUUUCCUGUAUCUGUGUAUGUCAAAUAAUUAGGAUGCUAUGAUCGAGAUGAAUUAAAUGUCUCUAACUAGAUAUGGUGUUUAUGUCAAAUAAUUAGAAUGUUAUGAUCGAAAUGAAUCAAGUGCUCCUAACUAAAUGAAUGAUUAUGAAUGUAGAAAUGUCAUGAGAGUAACUCCUUUUUAAACGCUUAAGCUAUCAUUGCUCAUAGUUCCUCCGGGUUCUAUCAUUGAUGUGCUAUCACGCCCUCUUGCUUAGUCGUUAUCUCUGACAGAAAAUUUGAAGAAAUAGCCAUAAUUUGGACUACUCUUUUUCCAAUGUUUUCCACUUUCGAGUCUGGUUAAUUCUAGAUAGUAGCCCUGUUUCAGGUCCUUGUACUAUUUAGAGAAUUUUCAAAAUAAUAUGCAUAACUUCUUUUAUUUGGAUAUUAUAAGUCCAAAAAAUCGUGAUUUCAACAAAAUGCUCAAAAGAGAUUAUCAUAAUGGACAAGAUAGAAUUCUAUUGAGUAAAACUCGAAGUGAAUACAUUAAACAGGAUAGCAAAUCUACUAAGGCGUAAAACUCAAAGUGAAUACAUUAAACAGGAUAGCAAAUCUAAUAAGGUACAAAAAUAAAAUGAGAAAAGAGGUGCCCUAGAUAUCGCCGCACGAGUUUCACUAUUCUGAUUUCUCAAAGGCUCUUUCGAACUAAAUGUGUGUUCAAGAGAUCCCUCGUAUUUUGUUGAUGCUCCAAGAUGUACCGUUCUUCCCUCUUGUUAAUUUUAGAAGGACAAGACUACUGCAUGCCCUAUACUCAAAAUUUGAGCUGCCCAUUUUUCGGGUUUUCAAAUCAAAAUUCCCUUUGGUCUCAAAGUGCCCUUUGCGGGUUUUCACUCUGGCCUCUCUUUCUUCAGGUAAAAUACUUCUUGACCGAAUCCGAGAGUACAGGAUUGGGAAAGUUUCUACCAUCCAUCUCGGCUAGAAUCAAUGCUCCUUUGGAGAAAGCUUUCUUCACCACGUAAGGCCCCUCCCAAUUAGGCAUCCAUUUUCCUCGAAAAUCCUUCUGCAUGGGAAGGAUCUUUUUCAAAACCAGGUCUCCCUCGUGGAAUUCUCUAGGACGAACCUUUUUGUCAUAUGCUCGCAUUAUUCGGUUUUGGUACAUCUGACCAUGAUGAAUAGGUCUUAGCCUCUUUUCUUCAAUCAAGUUCAAUUAAUCGUAUCGAGAUUGGAUUCAUUCUGCUUCAUCCAAUUUUAACUCUGACAAUAUUCGAAGGGACGGGAUCUCCGCUUCGAUUGGUAAAACCGCUUCCAUUCCGUAGACCAAAGAGAAAGGCGUUGCCCCAGUUGAGGUUCUGACUGAUGUUCGGUAAGCUAAGAGGGCGAAUGGUAACUUUUCAUGCCAAUCUUUGUAGGUCUCAGUCAUCUUCCCUACAAUCUUCUUAAUAUUUUUAUUGGCUGCUUCCACUGCCCCAUUCAUCUUCGGGCGAUAUGGUGACGAGUUAUGAUGUCUGAUCUUAAAUUGACUGUAGACUUCCGCUAUCGUACUGUUGUUCAAGUUUAAUGCGUUAUCAGAUAUGAUCCUCUCCGGCAUUCCAUAUCGACAUAUGAUCUCUUUUUUCAGGAACUUGCUCACUACUGACUUUGUAACACUAGCAUACGAAGCAGCUUUUACCCAUUUGGUGAAGUAGUCGAUAACCAUAAAGAUGAACUGAUGCCCGUUAAAAGCUUUCGGAGAUAUUGGUCUAAUCACAUCCAUACCCCACGUAGAGAAAGGCCAUGAGGAAACCAUGACAUGCAAUGGUGAAGGAGGCACAUGAUUUUUGUCUCCGUAGAUUUGGCACUUAUGGCAUCUUUUGGCGUAAUUGACACAGUCUCCCUCCAUAGUGGACCAAUAAUACCCGAAUCUUAUAAUUUGCCUGGCUAUUGUAAAGCCAUUAGCGUGUGUCCCGCAGACGCCUUCAUAGACUUCUUCCAAGAUUUUCUUAGCCUUUACAGCAUCUACGUAUCUUAAUAGCACUUGAUCAUUUCUUCUUUUGUAUAAGAUCUCCCCAUCUAAGACAUAGUCGAUGGCCAAUCUUCUCAGCGUCCUUUUGUCAUUCUCACUUGCCUGGUCUGGGUUUUCAUGAUUCUUCACGUAUUGCAAUAUAUCGUGAUACCAAGGGUGAUCAUCUUUUUCUUCAUCCUCUUCAAUAUUAUAACAGUGGGCUGGAGUUUCAUAAAUGCUCAUUCGGAUAGGUUUGACAUCUUCUUAUUUGUUCACCUUGAUCAUGGAAGCUAAGGUAGCCAAAGCAUCGGCCAUCUGAUUUUCAUCUCGUGAAAGGUAGCAGAAGGUAAUGUCGUCGAACUCUUUGACCAAUUCAAGGACCAGUUUUCGAUAAUUGAUCAAUUUGGGAUCUCUGGUCUCCCAUUCUCCUUUGAGUUGAUAAAUCACUGGGGCAGAAUCCCCAUACACCUCUAGCACUUUAAUCUUGCAUUCUAUAGUUGCACGGAUACCCAUGAUGCACGCUUCGUAUUCUGCCAUGUUAUUUGUACAAUCAAAAUCCAAUUUACUAGUGAAUGGAUAAUGAUCUCCGUUUGGGGAAACCAAGACUGCCCCGAUUCCAUUACCCACGGCAUUUGAUGCCCCAUCGAAGUUUAGUUUCCAAGAAAGUUCUUCCAGAGCACCUUCUUCAGUGGUAGCAACACACAUCAGGUUUUUGUUCGGGAAAUCAAAGUUCAAAGGCUCGUAGUCUUCCAAAGCUCUACUGGCCAGAAAAUCUGCUAUUGCACUGCCUUUUACCGCUUUCUGGUUUACAUAAAUUAUGUCGAAUUCAGAGAGCAGAAUCUGCCAUAGGGUCAUCCUUCCAUUCAAAGCGGUUGACUCCAUCAUGUACUUUCAGGGGUCGAGUUUUGAAAUGAGUCAAGUAGUAUGAUACAACAUAUACUGCCUCAACCUUCGAGUUGUCCAAAUUAGGGCACAACACAACUUCUCUAUCGGCGGGUACCUUGUCUCACAUUCCGUGAACUUUUUACUAAGAUAGUAAAUAGCUUUUUCUUUCCUUCCUGACUCAUCAUGCUGACCCAGUACGCAUCCAUGGAAUUCUCAAAUACUGCCAAAUAUAAUAUCAAUGGCCUAUCAGGGUCAGGUGGCGUUACCACCGGAGCAUUGGAUAAGUACUGUUUAACCUUAUCGAAAGCCCUUUAGCAUUCUUCAUCCUAUUCACCUGGGUUGUGUUUCUUGAGGAGGCAGAAAACAGGAUCACAUUUCUCGAUUAGUUGUGAAAUGAUCCGAGCGAUGUAAUUUAAUCUUCUUAGAAAGCCUCGAACCUCUUUCUAAGUACGUGGCGGAGAUAGCUCUUGUUUGGCUUUAAUGUUGUCUGGAUCGAUCUCGAUCCUUUUCUCACUAACCAUGAAUCCGAGUAGCUUUCCAGCCUUGGCCCCAAAAGUACAUUUGGCUGGGUUGAGUUUUAGCUGAAACUUCCUCAACUUCAAAAAAAAUUUUCUCAGGACUUGUAUGUGCUCUUUCUCUAUUCGAGAUUUUGCGAUCAUAUCAUCGACAUAAACCUCGAUUUCUUUAUGCAUCAUGUCGUGGAACAGGGUUACCAUGGCUCUUUGAUAAGUUACCCCCGCAUUCUUCAGUCCAAACGGUAUCAUUUUGUAGUAAAAUGUCCCCCACAUGGUUACAAAUGUGGUCUUCUCUAUGUCUUCAGGAUGCACCCUGAUCUGGUUAUAUCCGGAGAAACUGUCCAUGAAUGAAAACAAUGAGUGUCCUGCCGUGUUGUCCACUAGGGUGUCAAUAUGAGGUAGUGGAAAUUAUCCUUCGGGCUGGCUUUAUUCAAAUCUCUGUAGUCCACACACAUUCGCACUUUUCCAUCUUUCUUAGGGACGUAGACGAUGUUGGCUACCCAAUCUGAGUAUUUUACCACCUUCAGGAAUCCAGCGUCGAACUACUUUCGAACCUUUUCUUUUAUUUUUAGCAAGACAUCGGGCCUCAUUCUUUAGAGUUUUUGCUGAACUGGCUUGCAUUCUUCCUUUAUGGGGAGUCUAUGCACCACGAUAUCAGUGUUCAACCCGGGCAUAUCUUGGUAUGACCAUGCGAAGACAUCUUUGAAUUCUUGAAGUACUUCAAUGAGGUCUCGCUUCAUCUCUGUGGUGAUACAUGUUCUGAUCUUCACCUCUUGUCUUUCUCCUAAGCUCACAAUUUCUACUGAUUCUUUGUAAGGUAGUGUAACACCCCUCGCCCGCAUCCGACGUCGGGACGGGGUUCGAGGUGCUACCUGACUUUUACUAACACUUCCAUACUAAACAGGGCCAUGAAAUCUCAAAUAAUUAAAAACUUUUAUUUUCACAUACAAUUUGUCCCAUAUACGGGCUUACGAGGCCCAAAACAUACAUCCGGAGUGGUUCGGGACCCAACCGAGAACUCAUGAAAAACUUAGAAAAUCUCUUGCAUCAAGUCUUCAUACGCCCGUGUGGGUAUAGAGCAUACGCUCGUGUGCUAGGGACACGCCCGUGUCCCAAACCCGUGUCCAAAAACCUGGACAAAUACAAGGCUAUUUUCCAAGCCAUUUUGUCACACUCACAAUAGAUACACGCAUACUUAUACAAUAACAUACAACAUGGCAAAAUUAGGUACUUAAACAUUCCUAACAUGUCAUGAUUAUGGCAAUUUCACAUGCAAUAGAUAUCAUAGAUUUUACUCACAUCUUUACCACAUUCAUACUAUAAUCAUUAUAAACUCAUCACAUAAUACCAUAGCACAUGCAUGCAUGAUUAAAAUAGAUUUACAACCCCAUAAUCAAAAUAGGCCAACACAUAUGAUUAAAGCCAUAUCACAUACUCUAAUAUUUAAACUCCUAUACAUGCCAUAGGCUCAAAGUACUUGAAAUCACUACACCAAUAGCGUUAGCUUGACAGUGUGAUAAUAUCUCUGACGGCCUCCAACCCGAGCUAACUUGGAAACUCUAGAAAACAUGGGAAAGAAGAGGGGGGUAAGCUUUCGCUUAGUAAGUUCAUAUGAAAACAAUAAGCACUUAUUGACUUGUUUUAUCAAUGUUUACAACAUAUUCUCAAGUUCACUACAAGCUGUCUUUUUGAGCAACGGUCACUAAAUUAUUUAUAUCUGGAGCUAAAAAACUCCGAAUUAAGUUCCGUUAAUUUUCCCUGAUACUAGACUUAUUUUCCUUUCUUCCAUAAAAUUUUCAGAAUUUUUGGUUAAGCCAAAUAGUACAGUUUAUUCCUCAAAGUUACCCCUGAUUCACUAUCUGACAGUUCCGACCCUUCUGUACUAAAGUUCAAUUAUCUCAUAGUACAAGACUCGAAUAAUGUUCUCGUAUAUUUCUCUUGAAACUAGACUCAUAUGUCUACUUACUAAGCCAUUUAGUACAGUUUAUUAGUUAAAGUUUCCCCUGUUUCAGGGUAUGACUACUCUGACCCUUGUGCACUACAAACUAAAUUUCUCCCUGUACAGAAUUCCAAUGGCCAUGCCAUUUGUUUUCCUUAAAAAUAGACUCAAUAAGGAAUCCAUGCAUGUAAGUUAUGACUCUUAAUAAUUUUUGUACAAUUUAUGGUGAAUUUCUAAAGUCAGAACAGGGGAUCUCGAAUUCAUUCAGACCCUGUUUCACAAGAAUUCAAAUAUCACACAAUCUGGAAUUCUUUUUCUUCCCCUGUUUCUUUCAUGUGAAAAUAGCUCAUUAAGCUUUAAUCCCAUAUUUUAUUCUGCUCUAGCUCAUUUUCCACUAUUUUUAGUGUAUUUUCAAAGUUACACUACUGCAGUAACUCAAAUCUGUCAAGGCUAAAUUACUCAUUCAUGAUCAUUGUUCACAAAAUUAAUACAACAUCGUUUGUAUAAUCAUCACCGAGACAUUCAUAUCACAUUUUCAUUUACCAUCUUACCAUAUUGUUGUUAUGUCGAGUUUUCAACCCGAGGGUUAAGUACAUACCUGUUCAAAGUAUCCAUUUCACAACAUUUACCAAUACAUCCCUUUCAUCUCGAGUAUUCCUCCAUUUGAAUAGAAUUUUACCCGUUGAACACAUCAGAAUAUAAUUCAGAUACAUGGAAAGUUUGCACAUAAGUGCCACAUAUGGAGCCAAGCUACCAUGUAACCCGCCCAUAAGUGAACUCGGACUCAACUCAACGAGCUCGGGCGUUCGUAUUCAUAAGUGAACUCAGACUCAACUCAACGAGCUCGGAUGCCUAGUUACAUCUCACGAACUCGGACUCAACUCAACGAGUUCGAACAUUCGCAUCCAUAAGUGAACUCGGACUCAACUCAACGAGUUCAGAUGCUCAACCAUCCUAGUUGUAGCGACGUAAAAAAUUUUUUAGUUUCGCUUGGUCGCUAAUUGUGGCGAUUUAUUAAACAUUUGAAAACCAACUUUCGAUUUUAUUAACAAAGGGAGUCGCCACCGAUCCUUUUUUAUAGGUGUGAUCGGACACCUAAUAAAAUUAUUUUAAAACAAAAAGAAGGCCAAAUUUAGGUCUACAUGAAAGUCCAGAGAAAAAUUGGGGUUCGGGAGUCAGUUACGCGUGAGGAAGGUAUUAGCACCCUCGCGACGCCCAAAAUUGGUAUCUCAUAAACAUGUGUUGACUUGAUUUUCAAAAAUACGAGCUCAAUAUUAUAUUUAAUCGUGAUCCGAUUGAAAAAUGAGAAUUUUUAGUUUUCGAUUUUUUUUUAGAAAGGGUGUCCCGUUUUUUAACACAAGCCGACGAAUUUCACCCAACAUAGUGAUGAAAUCGAUGGCUUAAUAUUAAAUCGGUACAUUACCUUAUUUUUGAAAUUAAUUAAAACAUGAGAAAAAAUAUUCCUAAAGUGAGAAAUUAAAAAUAGAUAAAGGACGCAAAAAAAUGAUAUAUUAAUGAAAAAUAUUAACAUGGAAUACUAGAAUAUUAGAAUAACAAUAAUAAUGAUAUUUACAAAAUAAAAACAAAUCAUGUACUAAUAAUAAAAUAGGAAAAAUGAUAUAUUUGGUAAUAAUAAUAUAAAAUAAUAAUAUGUACAUAAAAAUACAUAUAUAUAUAUGCAUAUAAUAAAAGUAUGUAAUAAUAAUAAUAAUAUCUACAAUAAAAGAAAAUAUUAGGAAACGUACAUAAAAAAUAUAUACAUAAAAAAUUUACAACAAUAAUAUAAAAUAAUGAUAUGUGCAAAUAUAUAUACAUAUGUACAUAAAAUAUACACUAAUAUAAUAAUAGUUAUAAUAAUACUAGCAAUAGUAAUAAUUUGUAAUAAUAAUAUAUACACAUUAUGGUAUUUAAAAUAUAUAUAUAUGUAUAUAAUAGUAUUUAAGAAUAUAUACAUAAGAAAUAUAUAACUAAUGGCAUUAAAAAAUAUAUACAUAAUAUAUAUAAAAUACCUAAAAAAAAGAAGGGGGAAAGAAGAGAGAAUGGAGGGGGGAAAGGAAAUCCGGCCAAUGGGGGCCGAUCACCGGUCGAUCGUCGGUCGCCGCCCGUCGUCAGCCAUUGCCGGCCACCGCCCACGGUGGCCGAAAAAGGUAAAAAAAUUUUAACAAUAUAUGUAUAUAUAAAGAAAGAAAAAAAACAACACAAAAAAAAAGAAAAAAAAGAUUCGAAAGAAGAGGAAAAAAGAAAAAGAUGCAACCUUUUUAUUAAUGUUUCUUUUGUGUUCAAAAUUUGAAGGGAUUUUUGUGUUUUUUUUUUUCAAUCUUUGUAAAAUCUCUCCCCCUUUUUACAUGAUUUUUGAAUGGCUUUUUAUAGCCAUCUUUUACAUGAUUUUCUAUUAUUUCCUUUUCUAUUUUGUAGGUGGUGGUAGUAGACAAUGGAUAUCAAAAAUGGGAGGAAAAAUGAGGCAAGUGGGAAAGUGGCUAGGUGGCUAGGGUUUCUUAGUUUUUUUUGGGUUAGGUUUUUCUUUUUUCUUCUUUUUUUUUUCUUUUUGGUUAGGUUUUUUUGGGGGGGGCUUAAUGGGCCUUUGAAUUGGGUUUAAUAUUUGGGUUUUGUAAUGGGUUUGGGUAGAUGUAAAUGGGUCAUGGGUUAAGGGUUUUAGUGGGUUUAGAGGCUUGGUUGGGUUUUGAUGAAAUCGGGCCCGGGCAAUUUGGGCUUCUACAGCUGCCCCUCUUUGCUCAUUGUCGUGCAACGAUAAUAGAGCAAAGACUUUCAAGGAAGACCAAAUUUGCCCGGUCUUGCUAGGUCUUGACUUGCUUUGGAACUCUUUUUGUUUAGUUAGUCCCUUUUUAGUCCACCGCAUCUUGUAGCUUUGGUUCACUCCACUGCAUCUUAUGAUAUACGCCUUGUAGCUUCAAUCUAUUCCAAUGUAACUUCAAGGAUAUGAAAUUUAUGGCUUCGAUCUACUUCACUGUAACUUCAGAAAGGUGAGAUCUACAACUUCAAUCUUCUCUUCUAUCGCUUCAGUGUUUGUGGUCUUUUCUUCUGCGACUUUAGAAAGGCAAGAUCUGAUGCCCCCGAUCAACUCUACUGCAACUUUAAGGAGACAGAAUCUGACGUCUUCAAUCAGCUUCAAUCUUUAUUCUCUACUCGGCAUAUGAUCCUCUCGCAAUAUGAGUUGAUUUUUGAAACUUAUCUUGAAAAGCAGAUUUUGAAAAUACCUCGACAUGUGACUCGAGACUCAACUCACCUCUCGCAGAAAUUAAAAAGCUCAACUCACCUUUCGCAAUAUAAAUUGAAAAAAAUACCACAGUGUGUGAUCUGAAGCUCAACUCACCUCUCGCAAUAUGAGUUGAUUUUUUUUUGAAAGACAGAAAUUGAAAAUACCUCAGCAUGUGAACUGAGGCUCAACUCACCUCUGACAAUAUAAGUUGAGUUUUUUGAAAACAGAAAUUGAAAAUACCUCAACGUUUCUUGAGGCUCAACUCAUUUCUCGCAAUAUGAGUUGAAUUUUGAAAACAGAAAUUGAAAUUACCUCAGCGUGUCCCGAGGCUCAACUCAUCUCUUGCAAUAUGAGUUGAUUUUUUUUUUGACAACAGAAAUUGAAAUUACCUCAGCGUGUCCUGAGGCUCAACUCACCUCUCGUAAUAUGAGUUGAUUUUUUUUAAAAGGCAGAAAUUGAAAAACAGAAAUUGAAAAUACCUCGGCGUGUGACCUAAGGCUCAACCCGCCUCUUGCAAUACGAGUUGAUUUUUUUUUGAAAGACAGAAAUUGAAAAUACCUCAGCAUGUGAACCGAGACUCAACUCACCUCUCGCAAUAUAAGUUGAUUUUUUUUUAAAACAGAAAUUGAAAAUACCUCAAUGUGUCUUAAGGCUCAACUCAUUUCUUGCAAUAUGAGUUGAAUUUUGAAAACAGAAAUUGAAAUUACCUCAACGUGUCUUGAGGCGCAACUCAUUUCUCGCAAUAUGAGUUGAAUUUUGAAAACAGAAAUUGAAAUUACCUCAGCGUGUCCCGAGGCUCAACUCACUUCUCGCAAUAUGAGUUGAAUUUUGAAAAUAGAAAUUGAAAUUACCUCAACGUGUCUUGAGGCUCAACUCAUUUCUCGCAAUAUGAGUUGAAUUUUGAAAACAGAAAUUGAAAUUACCUCAGCGUGUCCCGAGGCUCAACUCACUUCUCGCAAUAUGAGUUUUGAAAACAGAAAUUGAAAUUACCUCAGCGUGUCCCGAGGCUCAACUCACCUCUCGCAAUAUGAGUUGAUUUUUUUGAAAGACAAAAAUUGAAAAUACCUCAGCAUGUCUUGAGGCUCAACUCACUUCUCGCAAUAUGAGUUGAAUUUUGAAAACAGAAAUUGAAAUUACCUCAGCGUGUCCCGAGGCUCGACUCACCUCUCGCAAUAUGAGUUGAUUUUUUUUGAAAGACAAAAAUUGAAAAUACCUCAGCAUGUCUUGAGGCUCAACUCAUUUCUCGCAAUAUGAGUUGAAUUUUGAAAUAAAACAUCAGAAUACCAGAACAUGUCAUCUGGUGGAACUCAUGUGUCUUUUCAGCUAUCAUCACAUCUUCUUGCUCUACUGGAGUACCUGUAUAUGUCAUGCAUGAUGUUAUCAUGAUAUGCAUAUGUUUUUCGUAAAUGAUUUUAUGCCUACAUGAUUAUGCUAUGUAUCUUAGGCAUGUUUGUCGUAUGCCCUUUUUCAUCACUAUUUUCGUGAUGAUCUGUAUUCAUUACUUCGGCUCCUGACUUUCUCUUUAGGCCCUGUACCCGUCCUCAAGUUUCACGAGUAAUCAAUGUUUCUCAAAUAUCACUCUUUUGCCCCUAGUUGAGCUUUGUCCCUGCGUUGAGACUCUUGUACUUAUCAAAUUCUUACCCGGGUAAUGCUUAACAUUUCUUUCGUUUAGAGUAUGUCAUUUCACUAUUUAUCAUGUAAAUGAAUCACAUAAUGAGAUGCGUGAAAAUGGUCAGGUAGAGACAAAAGGAUACCUCACAUUUAUUCAUUUCAAAAGUAGCAAACAAAGAAAGUUAACCAAUGAUAGUAAAAGAGUGUUAUAAAGAGAAAAGGGAUUGCAUUCAACGAAUACAAAUGCUCUAGAUAUUCAAUGCAUGAACUCUUCCACGUUCCUCAAUCAAGAAUCUUUUCGAGCAUGGCUUCUUGUGUAAAAGAUUCUGAGCUUUCAGAAAUGCUUCAAAUACGGUAGUCUCACUAUUUGACCCACCGUUCAAAAUGCCUUGUUCUUUAAGCCCGGGUUUGCUUCAUUAGAAUGCCCUUUCGGGUUUUCAUCCUAAUCUUUUGUGUUUAAUCAAAACGCCCUUUUCGGGUUUUCACCUUGAUCACCCUUUUUUUCUUUUUUUUAUAUGCUCUUUUUGGGUUUUCAUCUUGGAUUCCUUUUUCAAGCAUAAUAUUUCUUUACAGCAUCUGAAUUCACUGGACUCGGUAACUCUUUCCCAUCCAUCUCGGUGAGGAUCAAAGCUCCGCCCGAAAAUGCCUUCUUUACGAUGUAUGGACCUUCCCAAUUUGGCGUCCAUUUUCCUUGAAAAUCUUUUUGUAUUGGGAGAAUCUUCCUCAGCACGAGUUCUCCUUCAUGGAAUUCUCUUGGUCGUACCUUCUUGUCAUGGGCUGCGAUCAUUCUCUUCUGGUACAUCUGUCCAUGGCAAACUGCCUGCAGACGUUUUUCUUCAAUAAGGUUUAACUGGUCAUAUCGAGCUCGAACCCAUUCUGCUUCUUCUAGUUUUGAUUCCAUUAAGACUCGUAGAGAGGGGAUCUCAACUUCGAUGGGUAGCACAGCUUCCAUUCCAUAGACCAGAGAGAAAGGAGUUGCUCCCGUAGAUGUCCGCACAGAUGUACGAUAUGCAUACAAAGCAAAUGGUAGCUUCUCGUGCCAGUCUUUAUAUGUCUCGGUCAUUUUCCCAAUAAUCUUUUUAAUAUUCUUAUUGGCUACUUCAACAACUCCGUUCAUCUUUGGGCGAUAGGGUGAGGAGUUAUGAUGUUUUAUUUGGAAUUGCUCACACACUUCCUUCAUCAUCUUGUUAUUCAGAUUCAUGGCGUUAUCUGAAAUGAUUCUUUCAGGCAAACCAUGUCGACAAAUGAUUUCCUUCUUCAAAAACCUACAAACUGCAGUCUUGGUCACAUUGGCAAACGAAGCGGCUUUUAUCCAUUUUGUGAAGUAAUCAAUGACCAUAAAAAUAAAUCGGUGUCCAUUAGAAGCUUUUGGAGAAAUUGGCCCUAUAACAUCCAUGCCCCACAUAGAAAAAGGCCACGGAGAAGUCAUGACGUGAAGGGGCAAAUGGGCUGCAUGAAUUUUAUCACCAUAAAUUUGACAUUUGUGGCAUUUUCGUGCGAAAUUAAUGUAGUCGCUUUCCAUUGUCAGCCAGUAAUAUCCGAGUCUCAUAAUCUUCUUGGCCAUAGUGAAACCAUUGGCAUGCGUUUCGCAAAUUCCCUCAUGGACCUCUUCAAGUAUUUUUCUGGCUUCAACAUCAUCCACACAUCUCAAAAGCAUCUGAUCUUUUCCUCUUUUGUACAGGAUGUCCCCAUCAAGAACGAAUCCUGCUGCCAUUCUUCUGAUUGUUCUUUUGUCGUUCUCGUUUGCUUGUUCGGGAUAAUUUUGAUUCUUGAUAUAUUCUAAGACAUCAUGGAACCAUAGCCGUCCAUCUGUCUCUUUCUCGAUGCUGAAACAAUGUGCAGGGGCUUCAUAUAUGCUCAUUUGAAGAGGCAUUAUUUCUGUUUCCUAGUUUGCUUUGAACAUUGAAGCCAAAGUGGCCAAGGCAUCAGCCAAUUGGUUUUCUUCUCAUGGGAGGUAAUUAAAAGUUAUUUCUUCAAAUUCUUUAAUCAACUCUGCCACUAGAUCUCUGUAUUUAACCAGUUUUGAGUCUCUCACUUCCCAAUCUCCACGGAUUUGGUAAAUCACCAAGGCUGAGUCUCCGUAUACCUCUAAAACUUCGAUGUUUCGUUCAAUAGCUGCACGGAGUCCCAUGAUACAUGCCUCAUAUUCCACUAUGUUAUUGGUACAGAAGAAAUUCAGCCUGGCAGUGAGUGGGUAAUGAUUCCCUUCUGGCGAUAAUAAGACUGCUCCAAUCCCAUGCCCCAAUGCGUUCGAUGCACCAUCAAAGCUCAUCUUCCAUGACUUCUCUUUUGGUGACUCGUAUUCUUUUUCCGUAAUGCACAUCAAGUCUUCAUCUGGGAAAUCAAAUCUCAAUGGCUCGUAAUCCUCUGUUGUUCGAGUUGCUAAGAAGUCAGCUAUUGCGCUCCCUUUUAUCGACUUCUGACUUACAUAGGCAAUGUCAUAUUCCGAAAGGAGGAUCUGCCACCGUGCCAUUCUUCCUGAUAGUGCCGGCGAUCCAUCAUGUAUUUUAUUGGGUCCAGCUUUGAAAUUAGCCAUGUCGUGUGAUACAACAUAUAUUGUCUGAGUCUCCGAGCUACUUUGCCUCAUAUUCAGUGAACUUUUUACUGAGGUAGUAGAUCGCCUUUUCUUUCUUCCCUGACUCGUCGUGUUGCCCCAGUACGCAACCCAUUGAAUUUUCAAACACGGUCAAAUACAAUAUCAAUGGUCUCCCCGGAGUUGCCGGUACUAGCACUGGGGGACUAGACAAAUAUUGCUUUAUCUUAUCAAAGGGCACCUGACAUUCCUCAUUCCAAUUUCCUGGGUUAUGUUUUCGAAGAAGCCGAAAGAUUGGGUCGCAUUGGUUGGUAAGUUGAGCGAUGAAUCGGGAGAUGUAGUUUAAUCUCCCUAAAAAUCCUUUAACUUCCUUUUGCGUGCGUGGAGGUGGCAACUCUUGAAUGGCUUUUACUUUAUCUGGAUCAACCUCGAUACCUCUUUCACUGACAAUGACGCCUAGCAACUUCCCCGAGGUAGCCUCAAACGUACAUUUGGCUGGAUUAAGCUUUAGCUGAAACUUUCUCAGCCUUUCGAACAACUCCUUGAGGUUCACUACAUGCUCUUCUUCUCCUCGAGAUUUAGCAAUCAUAUCAUCGACGUAGACUUCUAUUUAUUUAUGCAUCAUGUCAUGGAAUAAUGUCACCAUAGCCCUCUGAUAUGUUGCCCCAGCAUUCUUUAACCCAAAAGGCAUUACCUUGUAGUAGAAUGUUCCCCACAUCGUUAUGAAGGUAGUUUUCUCCAUAUCUUCCGGGGCCAUUUUGAUCUGAUUGUACCCCGAGAAUCCAUCCAUGAAGGAAAACAAUGAAUGUUUUGCCGUGUUAUCCACCAACGUAUCAAUGUGUGGUAAAGGAAAAUUAUCUUUAGGACUUGCUCAAUUCAGGUCACGAUAAUCCAUGCACAUUCGUACUUUGCCGUCUUUCUUUGGUACCGGGACUAUGUUAGCCACCCAUUCUGGAUAUUUGGAGGCUUGUAGGAAGCCAGCAUAAAAUUGCUUCUUGACUUCCUCUUUUAUCUUCAACAACAUCUCAGGCCUCAUUCGUCUUAGCUUUUGUUGAAUAGGCUUGCAUUCUGGCUUUAAUAAGAGCUUAUGGACCGCUACAUCUUCAUCCAAUCCUGGCAUGUACUGAUAUGACCAUGCGAAUACAUCUUUGUAUUCGCGAAGCAAAGCAAUCAAAUUAUGCCUGGUGCCCCCUGAAAUAGAAGUCCCAAUCUUCACUUCUUGCCUCCUUUCUUCAGUUCCCAGAUUUAUUGUUUCAACAGAUUCUUGAUGAGGCAAAAUCUGUUUAUCCUCUUGUUCCACCAUUCUUAGCAAAUCAAGAGACGAGACAUAGUCUUCAGCGUUUUCUUCGGCUUCGAAUUCUCCUAAACAAAUAGCCUUCUCAAAAUCGAUUUCAGGACUCGUAACGGGUUUGUUCAUGCUGUUGACAUCUGAGCACCUGAAAGUUGAAUGGAAAAGGGAACUAUAGAGGGGCAUCCAAGUAUUGAAACCAACAAACGAAAUGUUAUGGCAUGGGAUGAGGCAAAUGUAAGGAUUGGCUAUGAAAUGAGAAAAUGAUUAUGAAAUUAGUGAUAAUGUGAAAGAUUAUGAGGAAAUGCAUCUUCAUUGACAUUCAUUUGAAUGAUAAAGAGCGAAUGCAGGCUCUUACAAAAGAAUUCUAUUAUAUCUAAGGACAUAACAGAAUGUUAAUGUUUGAGUAUUACUCUGAAGACUUAUAAACUAUAAGAAGAUCCUCGGCAGUCCAAUUGUUCAACUUGAAACCUAGGGGACAAAGGCGUAUCCUUGAGACGUCUUUACUUGCGUUAGCUUCUUUGUCAAUGACAUUUAUACUGACAUUCUGAAGACCCCUUUCAAUUAAUAACAGCAUGCUUUGUAUAUUAUCCUGUCUGGGGUAUAUCAUUCCUGCAGAUGUAAAUGUUUUUGACAAAUGAGGGUACGUUAUGGGCCCCCAUUCUAUUUCUCGGCCCAAAGUUCUCACAAUCCUUCUCUCCUGAUCCUUCUUCCACUGUUUUCUUCUUUGACGCAUGUCCGGCUGGAACCUCAAACUGUAUCGGGCCUUGUGGUGCACUGGCUUUAGGGCCUUGACUAUUCCUUGCAGGUACCUUCCCAAACCUUUCCUUGCUCGGGCUCCCUUUCCUACAGUCAACUUGACACCCAUCUUGGUAUUUCUCGACAGUUUUGGCUCGGGAAUUUUGUUUCCCUCAGCGAAAAAUGUGGCAUUGACAAAUUCAAGAGAUCGGAAGGAACAUUCCAUAGCAUCUUUACUCACUUCUAUAUAUGGUGCGUCGGCAGAAAUAGAUGCUACAAUGUCUUCUUCUCCCUCGACAGUGACCAAACAGCCAUCCAUGAUGAAUUUCGCCUUUUGAUGAAGGGAUGAUGGGACCGCUCCAGCAGAAUGAAUCCAAGGUCUUCCCACGAGACAAUUGUAUGAUGGUGUAAUGUCCAUGACUUGAAACUCAACAUCGUAUAUAUAGGGACCCACUUCUAAAGGAAUCUCAAUUUUUCCAUAACUUCUCGUCUUGUUCCAUCGAAUGCCCUUACUGUAGAAUGGCAAGGCUUUAGAUAGGACAAAUCCAUCGGAAUCCUGGAAAGUGUGGCUAAAAGCAUAACAUUGAGUGCCGAUCCAUUGUUGAUGAGCACAUUCGGUAUUAUAUAGCCCUUACAACGGGUUGUGAUAUGCAAUGUUUUCACUGAGCCUCUACCAUUGGGCAGUAUUUCAUCAUCAUUAAAAGAAAUAAAAUUAUCCGCAUUCAAGUUGUUCACCCACCUAUCCAGUUUUUCAACGGAUACAUUAUUUGCCACAUAAGCUUGAUUUAACACUUUCAGCAGAGCGUUCCAGUGUGGCUCUGAAUUCAACAGCAAAGAUAAUACCGAGAUUCGCGCUGGCUGCUUAGUCAAUUGUUCUACCACGUUGUACUCACUGUGCUUGAUAAAUUUUAAAAAUUCCUGUGCUUCUUCCUCGUCCACAGGCUUUUUAGCUUCUUGUUCAGGCACAAUUUCAUACUCAGCUUCAGUCACAUGCAUCGGUGCUUUUCCUUUCUGUUUCAAGUCACUGUUCUUUACAGAUUCAACCUCUUUUGAAUAACAUCUUCCGCUACGAGUGAAAUGACCUACUUCCCCAACGCUUCCAGUCAUGGCUUUGGGUUUUUCAUCUUCAGGUGUGACGAUAUUAACGUCAUAUUUCCAUGGUACUGCUUUAUUGUCCUUGUAGGGGAAAGGAGAUGGUACCUCGAUUAUCACUUUUGGUUUCACUGGUUCCUUCUUCGCGUCAUAAUAAAUUAUUAACGGUCGAUCGGCGCUAUACGGACAACCUGACGAUUGAUUGUCGGAGGUACAUACUUCUUUCUCAUUAGCCUCUUCGCCUUUAUAAAAAAUCCCAAUCUCCUUAUUGUCCAUCAUAUUUUGCAGUAAUCUCUUGAACUCUUCGCAGGAUUGAAUAUCGUGCCCCUCAAUACUAUGGAAUUCGCAAAAACUUGGAUCUUUUGUAUUCCUUCCCUCGAAUACUCUGUUAAGAUGACAAAGCGAACCCUUUUCAACUAGCACCUCCCAAAUUUUCUGCAGAGGUGUUCUUAUUUCAGAAACCCGUCUUCUACUUUGUCGUUUGUCCUCCUCUCCUACUGCGCUCACAUUCCUUUGGGCGUGGUUUGGGAAUGGGUUCCUGGAUGUACUGCCAGUGCCAUCAAAUCGCAGAAUACCCGCAUCGAUAAGUCCUUGAACUCUCCUUUUGAAGGCCAGGCAGUUUUUUGUAGAGUGCCCCUGGUUCCCGACAUGGUAUACACAACUAGCAUUUGGAUCGUACCAUUUCGGGUAUGGAGGUUUAAGGGGUGCCAUGUAAUGGGAGAUAUUAAUUGCUUCUCCAGAAGUUUUAGGUACAGUUCCCCGUACGACACAGGAAUAGGGGUGAAUUGCUGUCUCUCGGGAUUGGGCCUUGCUGGUCUUGGUUCAUUUUUAGGUUGGCUUUGAGCGGGUAUAGUGUUUUGUAGGAAUGAGGUGAUGGGUCUUUGGUUGUUCGUGGCGUAAACGAGAUAGGAAGGAGGUGGUGCUUGGUAGUAAGGGUUUUGAGGGGGAUAAUAGAAAUUUGGAGGUGGAUAAUUUCGUGGUCGGGGUUGGUUCGGAUAUGGAUUAGAGGCAUAACGGCUUCCCAUUCCCACCAUGUGGGCUUCUGGUUCUUUCUUCUUCAUAGAUGUUGCCCUUUUUGAACCUUCUGAGCCUUUCAUUCUACCGCUCUUGACGGCAUUCUCUAUGAGCUCACCAGAUAUUACAAUAUCCGCAAACUCUUUCGUGGCACUUCCCACUAAUUUGUCAUAAAAUAGCGCAUUUAAGAUGUUGAUAAAGAGAACGGUUAUCUCCGUUUUUGUUAGUGGGGGUUCCACUUGGGCCGAGACGUCUUUCCAUCUCUGCGCAUACUUUCUGAAGGUUUCUGAUGGCUUUUUCUCCAUCAUUUCCAAGGUCAUCCGGUCUGGAACCAUAUCCGACACAUGCUUGUACUGCUCGCAAAAUACUGACGCCAAGUCCUUCCAGGAUCGCAUCUUUUCUCUACUGAGUUGGUUGUACCACCGAAGAGCUGACCCUGUUAGACUAUCUUGAAAGCAAUGUAUAAGUAGCUUAUCCUCGUUCACAUAACCGGUCAUUUUUCGACAGAACAUGAUGAGAUGUGCUUUUGGGCACCUUGUCCCAUCAUACUUUUCAAAAUCAGGCGCCUUGAAUUUCGGAGGCAAGAUUAGAUCAGGUACCAAACUGAGUUCUUUGGCACCUAGUGCGGAGAAGACUUCAGUGCCUUCUAUUGCUUUGAGUCUUUCCUCUAGACUUCUAUAUUUUGCAUCAUGAUUAUCCAAUUUCAACUUGGCUACCUCUGCUGGGUCGUCCAGAUCUGGAACUAGUGGAUCAGCAGGGCUUGCCCUUGGGUUCGACACGAAUAUUCCUUGCCCCAGAUUAGUGGGUGGAGCAGGUGGCAUAGGUCGUUGUUCCAAGACUGUGAGUUCCCCUUGAGUAUACCCUCUUUGUGUUGUAUAUGCGGGUGGUGGAGUGAAUCCCGGGGGAUAGAGUGGAUCCUGAUCGUGGUGAAUUCUUGACUGAGGUUCCAUAACAUAGGGGUUCUGCACGGGUCCUUUUCCUUUGACCAAAUUUGUCAUCAUCUCCAUCAUUUUGGCCAUCUGAUCUCUUUGCUCCAGUGAUUCCUCUCGAGAUCUCACCAUUAGGUCUCUCGUUUCUUGUUGCGAUUUGGCCAGUUGCUCUUGUAAUUCCUUUUGAGCCCUUUCCAUCCUUUCAAUUCUCUCAUUGAAUUCAGCCUCCAUUACUCUAGCUUGUCGACGCGUUUUAUACGGAUGACGUGGUUCCAGUCUUGUGGUAUUACAACUGUGAAUUAUAUAUUUUAUCUUCAACGACCGAGUAUGGGAUAUGCAAUGUAUGAAUGAAUGCAUGAAUGAAUGCAUGAAUGUCAAAUGAAUGUCAGUCAUGAAUGAAUAUGCAAAAAUUUGGUGUUAAUUUCAAGAUAGCCCCUAUUUAGGCAUUUCCUUAAUCAAAGGAGUAUUACACAACGUUUCGGUCACUCGUAUAAUUGACUCCUCCAUUAGAAACCCGUUUUUGGCAACCAAUCUCUAAUCAACACCUUCCUAACAAGAUGCCUUCGAUGCAUGAUGAAAAAUAAAAAUACAGACAAACGACAUUGGUUAGCGCAACACAUAUAAACAGAGAAAAAUUGUGGAAAAUCUAACAAAUUAAGCUACUGGGUCCAGUGGACUCGAUUCCCUUGCUUAGAAAGCACAAAUGUAAAAGAAAUAGAAGGUAAGAUGUGCUUUUCCCGUGUACUUAUUUCGGUGACUACUAAACGAGCGGAGGUUCGGCAUGGCUCUAGUUGGGUGGCUCGUAUGGUUCACUAUAUGCGAUUUUGGUUCUAGACAGGUACUCGAAUUGCUCAUACUAUCAUCUGCUAAGAUUAGCACGAAGCCUCGGUCAUAACCCAUCACAGGCUCAGGAGUUCAAUUCGAGGGAUUACAUUUACUUAUGCCAUGCGGAGGGACAAGUUAACUCACGAAAGCAUAAGUCAUAUGUAACCCGAAAGUAUUCACUAGCCUGUGCGGAGGGACGAGUUAACUCACGAAGGCAUAGCGUUUACUUUCACUUAAACGGACAGAGCCCGGGUAGAGAGCUUAUGCUAUGCAAAAUGCAAGUGCACGGUGUGUGGGAGAAACUUGCAAUCCUUCCAUUUAUUUUAAAACUACAAAACUAAAACGAAAGAUAAAAACAAAUUAGGAGAUACGUAUGUAUGAUUUUUUCGAAAACAAAACUUAAAGAUCAUGAUUAAAUAUUAAUUUGAACACGGAAAUUUGAAAAUUUUGACAACACGCGUUUAAUUCAACUCGACUCUCAAAAAUGGAGGUCCCCAGUGGAGUCGCCAGCUGUAGCGACGUAAAAAAAUUUUUAGUUUCGCUUGGUCGCUAAUUGUGGCGAUUUAUUAAACAUUUGAAAACUAACUUUCGAUUUUAUUAACAAAGGGAGUCGCCACAGAUCCUUUUUUAUAGGUGUGAUCGGACACCUAAUAAAAUUAUUUUAAAACAAAAAGAAGGCCAAAUUUAGGUCUACAUGAAAGUCCAGAGAAAAAUUGGGGUUCGGGAGUCAGUUACGCGUGAGGAAGGUAUUAACACCCUCGCGACGCCCAAAAUUGGUAUCUCAUAAACAUGUGUUGACUUGAUUUUCAAAAAUACGAGUUCAAUAUAAUAUUUAAUCGUGAUCCGAUUGAAAAAUGAGAAUUUUUAGUUUUCGAUUUUUUUUUUAAAAAGGGUGUCCCGUUUUUUAACACAAGCCGACGAAUUUCACCCAACAUAGCAAUGAAAUCGAUGGCUUAAUAUUAAAUCGGUACAUUGCCUUAUUUUUGAAAUUAAUUAAAACAUGAGAAAAAAUAUUCCGAAAGUGAGAAAUUAAAAAUAGAUAAAGGACGCAAAAAAAUGAUAUCAUUAAUGAAAAAUAUUAACAUGGAAUACUAGAAUAUUAGAAUAACAAUAAUAAUGAUAUUUACAAAAUAAAAACAAAUCAUGUACUAAUAAUAAAAUAGGAAAAAUGAUAUAUUUGGUAAUAAUAAUAUAAAAUAAUAAUAUGUACAUAAAAAUACAUAUAUAUAUAUGAAUAUAAUAAAAGUAUGUAAUAAUAAUAAUAUCUACAAUAAAAGAAAAUAUUAGGAAACGUACAUAAAAAAUAUAUACAUAAAAGUAUAUAAUAAAAGUAUGUAAUAAUAAUAAUGAUUUUUGAAUAGCUUUUUAUAGCCAUCUUUUACAUGAUUUUCUAUUAUUUCUUUUUCUAUUUUGUAGGUGGCGGUGGUAGACAAUGGAUAUCAAAAAUGGGAGGAAAAAUGGGGCAAGUGGGAAAGUGGCUAGGUGGCUAGGGUUUCUUUGUUUUUUUUGGGUUAUGUUUUUCUUUUUUCUUCUUUUUUUUUCUUUUUAGUUAGGUUUUUUUUGGGGGGGGCUUAAUGGGCUUUUGAAUUGGGUUUAAUAUUUGGGUUUUGUAAUGGGUUUGGGUAGAUGUAAAUGGGUCAUGAGUUAAGGGUUUUAGUGGGUUUAGAGGUUUGGUUGGGUUUUGAUGAAAUCGGGCCCGGGCAAUUUGGGCUUCUACACUAGUGACAUGUCACUUGUAUCCUAAUCUAUUCCUAAGGUUCAAACGGGAUUUUCCUCGAACACAUAUCCUUGCCAUCUUCCGUAAAAUACCGAAACCAAUACUCGGUAGCACUUUAUAUUUAACAGAUAAUACACAUAACUUGCAUUUUAUUCGAAAAUAACCACAAAGCAUAUAUUUCAUGAUAAAAAUCAGCAUAUCAUAUAUUUAACAUCAAUAACUUAAAAAUAACAAUUAUGCUACAUUAUUUACACAUGAACUUACCUCGAUACCACAAAGGUGAAAAAAAAACGUAAUUAUCCCUUAAUCGAUUUCUUUCCGUUCUAGGUCCAAAUCUCGAUUUUCAUCAUCUAAAACAUCACAUUCAACUUAUUAAAAUAAUGUACUGAUCAAAUUAGUCCAUUGACACACUUGGGCAAUUUUUACAAUUUUGCCCCUAUAUUUUGCCAAAACUACCAAAUUACCCCUAGGCUCGUAAAAUAAUUUUUAUCACAUUUCUUUACUUCUUGAGUCUAGAUGAACCAUUUUCAUAACUAUAGCAACUCAUAAUUUCAACUAUUUCACACAUUUACAACUCAUUUUACAACUUAGCAAUCUAGCCCUUUUUAAGGUGUUUUCAUGCAAUUUCUUUCACAAAAGUUGUUUAUUAGACAACUAGGACUCAUAAUCUUCCAUAAAAAUACAGUAAACAACACAUUUACUCUCAUGGAAAAACCCUAGACUCUUCAUCAUUUUGCAAAAUAGACCACUCAUGAAAGCUCAUGCUUUAGGGGUUCCAAAAAUGUAAAAAUCAUCAAGCAAUGACAUUAAAAUCACUUACAAGCAAGGGAAAUAUGUUGCUGAAAUUUUUCAGCUUCAAAGCCCUUUCUUUGCUACAUAUUUCGGUGAAGGAUAAGAGAAAAAUGAUAGCUUUUUCUUUUUGAUUUGUUAAUAAUAAAACUAGUCAAAAUUGGUGACCAAAUUUCACCUAAUUUUGACUUUUCAACAAUUUUGUCUCCCAUGGCCGGCCAUCACACUUUAAAUGGAGUAAUUUCACUUUAAAUACCCCCAAUUUAAGAUACAAGACAAUUUAACACCUUUAGGUAUUAAAACACAACUUUUACCCUUUACGCGAUUUAGUCCUUUUUUGAAAUUGGACUAGAAAUUGCUAAAAUUAACUUACCAAAAUUUACAUGCACUUAUAAAAUUAUAUUAUAACACAUAAAAUAAUACUAAAAAUAUUUUCUCUAGCCUCAAAAUAGUGGUCCCAAAACCACUGUUUCGACUAGGCCCAAAAUCAGGCUGUUACAGGUAGGAUUUUUUUUCGUCUCAUUCCACCAUCCUCAACAAAUCAAGAGACAGGUUACAGCCUUGGUCAUCCUCAAAAUCGUGAGAAUCCUCCAUACACACUUCUCGCUCAAAAGGAAAUUCUGAGUCAUUAGCAGUGUCACUCGUAUCAUUGAUAUCUGGGGACCUGUUAUGGGGAUGAAGGCAGAUACAAGGAAUCAAAAGAAUUCAAAAAUAUUUAUCUGUAUGGUAUGAUUAUGAAUGACGAAUGAAAUAAUAUUUAGAAGAAUGUUUAAAGAAUAAAGGAAUCCGAAAAUAAUCGUUUGUAUGUUUGUGAGUGAAAUUUAAAGAAUGAGAGAACAUCUGCUCAAAAUGAUAAUAACCGUGCAUUUUAUUGAAAUAAUGUUUUUAAACAUCAGCCUAUUUCACAAAAGAUUCUUAUUACUCCUAGGCCUAGAGCAAUAAGUGUGUUUUGGACAUUACUUUGAAUCCGUUCUAAAAACUACAGGAAUCUCUUCCGCAGUCCAGUUGUCCAGAACACUUCCAGGUGUGUAGGGGCAAAUGCCCGACAAAUUUUCUCUUCCCGUCUCCUCUUCGUAUGUGGCGUUGAUGUCUAAAUUUUCCAGCCUUUCUUUUAUGGCUCCCUUCAUUGGCGUGCCUCUCUCGGGAUGAAUAAUUCCCCCGGACACAAACGUUUUCGAUAUAUGGGGGAAUAUCAUUGGCUCCUAUUUGAUUUCCCCCCUUCCCUCCCGUUAACCGUGCUCUCCUUCUUUCUUGCUUCUUUUCCAGCUCCUUUCUCCUUUGUCUCGUAUCCGGCCUAAAUCCUAAGUCGAAGCUAUCUCUCUUGUCCUUCAGCAUUGGUGUUUCAAUCCUUCCUUGUAGAUGUCUCCCAAGUCCUCUUCCGGGUAGGGCCCCCUUUCCAAUCGUCAACUGUAGGCUCAUCCUCGUGGUUUUGGACAAUUUUGGCACCAGAAUCUUGCUUCCUUCGGCGAUAAAGGUCGCAUUAACAAAUUCCAAAGAUCGAAAUGAACAUUCGAUUGCUUCAUCAUCCGUCUCCAAAUAAGGCGCAUUAUUGCUCACAGUUGCAAUGAUAUCAUCUUCAGCAUUGAUCGUUAUCAACCUCCCCUCUGAUACCAGCUUUAACUUUUGAUGCAAUGAGGAAGGCACUGCCCCAGCUGAAUGUAUCCAGGGCCUCCCCAAUAAGCAAUUAUAUGAGGGCUUGAUAUCCAUUACUAGGAAAUCCACCUCAUAUGUGUGUGGCCCGAUUUGCAGAGGUACCUCGAUUCUUCCCAUCACCCUUCUCUCUGUACCGUCAAAUGCUUUCACUAUAUUCUGGCACUCCUUCAUGUGAGAGCUGUCUACAGGUAAUCUGUUAAGUGUAGUCAAGGGCAAGACAUUCAAGGCCGAACCAUUGUCAAUCAGUACGCCUGGCAGCGUAUACCCUUUACAGCGCGUGGUGAUAUGCAAAGCUUUAGUCGACCCCAUGCCCCCGGGUGGUAUCUCAUUGUCAUUGAAAAAGAUAUAGUUGUCAGCACUUAUGUUGCUAACCAAACGGUCUAGCUUGUUAACGGAGAUAUCGUUGGCAACAUAUGUCUCAUUCAAGACCUUCAUCAAUGCGCUGCUAUGAACUUUCGAGCUUAGAAGUAAGCCCAGCACCAAGAUGCGAGCCGGUUGUUUACGUAGCUGUUCCACCACACUGUAUUCGCUAUGUUUUAGGAAUUUUAAAAACUCGUUGGCCUCUUCCUCGUUAACUGGCUCGUUAACAGAUUUGGUCAUUUUAUCAUUCAUUUCCUCGACCACUGGGGUUUUUCCUUUUAUGGGUUGUGCCUCCUCAUUUGCUAUAUCGUAACGUCUUCCGUUAUGUGUAUAGGAGCCCCUGUCUUGACCCUCUUUUGAAGCAUCCACCAGGCUUUCCUUUCCCGAAAUUGUCACGUUAUAAUCAUAAUUCCAUGUGACCUUUUUGCUGUCUUUGUAGGGGAAGACUGCAGGUCUUUGGAUUAUGACCUUCAGUGGCAUUUGUACUCCAGCUUCAUUAUUUUUAGGUCUCGAUGUGAUAACCACGGGAUAGUUAGCUGUUUGAUUCUGUGCCGUCGAUUUUCCCUCCGACGCACAUAUAUCUCCCUCUAUGGGGUUCUUAGCUUCUUGAUAAAACUCUAUUUCUUUAUUAUCUAUCAUGUUUUGCACGAGGGCCUUAAAUUCCAUACAAUCUUGGAUUUCAUGCCUCACCUCGUCAUGAAACUCGCAGUAGUUUCUCCCUUCUUCUGAUACUUCCCUUGAAUCCGACACGAUCAACCCUCUCUUAACCAUCUCCUUCCACACCCGUCUCAACGGGGUCCUGACUUCCGCAACCUCACACUUAAUCUUCUUGUUUUUGCCUUCGCUUAUCCCAUUCACCCCUUGGUCGGUAUGAUUAGGGAGAAGAUUUCCUGCUACAUUGGGUACGGUCAAACCUCACGAUCUCCAUCUUAAUGAGUCUUUCGACUACUUUCUUGAACGCAGUGCAAUUUUCGAUUGAGUGCCCGGUAAUUUUCGCAUGGUAUUCACAUUGGGCGUUUGUGUCAUACCAUUUGGGAUACGGGGGCUGCAAUAGCUUCAGGUAAAACGGAGACACCACAUGAGCGUUGAACAGGUUUCGGUAAAGCUCCCUAUACGUCAUGGGUAUAGGAGUAAAUUGUGGCAUUUCUGUGUUCUCCCUCGCGUUGGAUUCUUGUCUUACGGAGCUACGUUAAUUGGUGGCUACCGUCUUUGGCUGAUUUACGGUAAGUGACUUGGACUGACCCUUGUUGAAUGUGCUCGUAUUGUUCACUUCUUAUCUCUUUUCUUCGGGGCCGACUUCCUGGUACUCUCUCCUAAUUCUAUCUUACCGCUUCUAAUAGUAUUUUCGAUCAUUUCCCCUAUCAUCACUAUGUCAGUGAAGCUCUUGGUGGCGCUUCCCAACAUAUGAGUGAUAAAAGGGGCCUUCAAUGUGUUAAUAAAGAGCAUCGUCGUUUCCUUUUCUAGAAGUGGUGGCUGAACUUGUAUGGCCACCUCUCUCCAUCUUUGUGCAUACUGUCUGAAGCUUUCAUUUGAUUUCUUCUCCAUAUUCUGGAGAGUGAUUCUGUCGGGGGUCAUGUCCGUCACAUGAUUGUAUUGCUUCAUAAAUGCCUGAGCCAGGUCCUUCCACAAGUUAAUUUUAGAGCGGCUUAAUUGGUUGUACCACUUAGACGCCACCCCGACCAGGCUAUCUUGAAAGCAGUGGAUUAAUAGUUGGUCAUUGUUAACGUACCCCGUCAUUCGCCUACAGAACAUAGUGAUGUGAGCUUCAGGGCAGCUUGUUCCAUUGUAUUUCUCGAAUUUGGGCAUUUUGAAUUUAGGGGGAAGGACUAAAUCUGGGACUAGACUCAGGUCCUUGGCAUCAAUCCCUUGAUGAUGAUCCGCGCUUUCCAUGGCUUUGAAUUUCUCCUCGAGCCAUCUGCACCGUUCUUCCAAUUGUUUUUUGUGAAUCUAUCCUUGCCUUUUCUUCGUCAGCAACUUCAUCCAAAUCGGGAACGGGCGGAUAGUUCAGGUUGUUGACAAAGUUAAAGCCUGAACCGAUUUGAAAGUUCAUCGGUAUUGAAGCUCUGGCUUGAACCUGCUAGGGCAUGAUUGUGACAGAUGGUUUGGUGGAUUAAUCUCUGGCUUCAGCGGUACUUGUGUCAGAGUGAAGCCAAUGGGGUAUUGAGGAUCUUCAUUAGUUUCUUCAACUUUAUCCAUGGGGCCCUUUCCCUUAUCCGUUCCUCCCAAUAGCAAUUGGGAUAACUGACUCAUCAUUUCCCUUUGGGAUUCCAUCAUUUGUUCCUUCAUCUCUCGCUGAAUCUUGGCUAGCUGCUCUUGCAUCUGAAACUGCAUCUGAAACUACAGUUUUACAGUGAAGCCUCUAAUUUUUCUAUUAUUCUUUUCAUUUCUUCUAUCUUGCUCAAGCUUGCCCUUAAUUCUAUUGCGGUGUUGCGGUUUCGGUACUGAUGCAGAGAUUUCUCGAGUUCUGCCACUCUAGCUCUUAAUUCACCUCGCUCAUUUCUACUUUCCGACAGACUUUUCUCUAAAUCCUUGUUUCGUGCUUGAGCUUCUCAGAAUUUCUUUUCCCACUGGUCGGCAUUGGUUUUUUUUCUCUGAUUUCAUAGCGCCAUUGUUCGGAAGUCUUGCCUAACCCCGCAGUCCUCAUAAAUAGGCGCAGCAUCUUAUAGUCCGUCUUCAAGCUGUCUAGAUCUGCUUCAGCCUUGGUUUUCCCUUUUCUCCACUUUUCAGCCUCUGACCUCUGGACAUCAGCGUCUAAUCUUAAGUGCAUCUUUUGCUCCUCCAAUUGUUCGAUCUUCUUCCCAAGCUCCAAACUCUUCUUCUUGAAAUCUUGCCUUAUAAUCUCCAAUUCUGACGGGGCGACUUGUAAUUGUUCCCCCAUAGGUCAAGCAUUCUCCAAGCUUGGCCUAGAAACGUUAUCAUUAACCCUAUUCUUAAACUAUCCGUCAUACUCGGGUGUUACCAUGGAACCGACGGCCAACCUUUUCAUCCAACAAGUUUACUUCUAAACAUCCGAUAGCUCCCGAACUUUCUUCUUAUAGUGAGCACCUUUAAAAGAGAAUUCACUCUGAGCAAGUCCAUAAGUCGUGGGUACAAACUACCUCGAUUUAUAUUGUCCCAAGGCUAGCAAUAGAGUAUACCUGGUAGCUCCCCAAAUUCCUAACAACGGCACCCAAUCAAAGUUACCGCAUCGGUACAUGAUCUCAUCAGGAACCAUCCAAUAAGCUCUCCACUUGAUAUCCCCCUCCUUGAGGUUUUGAGGAAUUUUCAUCCACUUCUCCUCCGAGAUAUCCUCUGUCCUUUGUAUAGCUGCCUCCUCUUUCAGUGGGGAGUAACCUUCAGAAAAGAUCUGAUAAGAAACCUUGUCUACCUUUCAAAAGUGCCCAUGAAACCAUACUAUCAGUAAUUGUGCACAUCCAAUAAACCGCCAUUCGCCUGUCUUCCGACAUGAGCUCAAAGAUCUGAACGUUUCUGCCAAUAUCACUGGUACUGGUGUAAUUCCCUUCUCAAGGCAUUCAAAUAAGUCAACGACUGCCUCUUCUACGUGCCUCAACAUCUUAGGGAAAAUUACCAAUCCGUAGAUACUUAAUGCGAAGAUAUCGACCCUCUUUCUUUCAUCCGGAUGCGUCAAAAUCAAGUCUCGCAAAUUCUUCCAAGGGAUACAUUUACUAUCUCCUUUUUGCUGAAUCCGAGCAGUGACCCAAGGCUCGCUCAUCCCAGAAAUGCUCAUCAAUUUCUUCACAAAAGUCUGACUACUAAAAACCCGGGCAUAAGUCUUCCGGACCUGAAUUUUUAAACACCUGAGCAGUGUAGUGUAUUCCUCUAUGGUAGGUACUAAAUCCACUUCUCCAAAAGUGAAACACUUGUAAGCAGAAUUCCAAAACUGAACUAUAACCCGGAAUAGAUGCUUGUCCACUCUAAUGUCUAGCAAGUAGGAUAUAUCACCAUAGCUUAGGUAAAAGAACUGCUUGAUCCCUUUAUCCCAACUAGCCCAAAUGUCUCUAAACUCUUGCAGCUCAUUCUGUGCUACAUUGACGCGAGUGAAAUCCUGCAACUCGGAGAUAUAUCCUUCUGCCAAGCUAUCCCCUCUCUCUGAUUGUAGCUUCUCUGACCAUGCACAAACGACCGCAUUAUCCUCGACUUUACUAAGAAAUUCAUUCUCCAUGUCAAACUUUCUAAUUUAAUAAUUGAAUAUAGAUCAACACCUCCUUUAGUAUACAAUGUCAUGCAAAAUACAAUCAAAACAAAACACAGGUUAGUAUCAGAUAAUAGCGGUAAAAUGCAAGCACAUAAAUUACAACGUAUAUAUGGGUAAGUACUAAGGCUCGACGCGGCUCCACCCAAGGAUAGCUCCUAAGGUUCAUUAUAUGUGGUUCGGUUCUAGAGAUAAGGUACCUGAACCAGCGGAUUCCUCAAUCCUCACCCAUUAUAGGCUCAUAUAGAUUGAGUUUGGUUCAGGGGGAUACAUUUCCCUAUGACCAUACGGAGAUGAAAAUCUCACGAAAUCAUAGGUACAGAUGUAUCCCGGAAGCAAUCCAUUAGCCUAUGCGGAGGUGAAAACCUCACGAAAGCGUAGUUUCUUACUCCCACUUAGAAGGUGUGACCACAGCGGUCAUGCAAUGGAAUGUAGUACUAUUCUAUGAGAUCCGAACCAUAACAACCAUACAAACGAAUGCAAUCAUGAUUUUUAAAACAAGUUUUCGAUUUUUGACAGAAGGAUAGCAAAUAAUCGAUUUUAUGGCUAGACUUUCUUAAAGAGUCCCCAGUGGAGUCGCCAAGCUGUCGAAACCACCUUUUUAUUUAAAAUUUUUAUGUUUAAUGAAAAACGAGAAUCGACCUUUUGAAAAUAAAACAUGGAGUCGCCACCGAUCUUUUGUUUUGGUGUGAUCGGAUCACAUAAGAAUUUGGUUAUUUUAAUAAAACAUUUUUGGUUUACUAAAAUGACGAUUUUGGUCUACAAACUUUUGAGAAAAUGGGUUAGGGAGUCGGUUACGCAUGAGUAAGGAUUAGUACCCUCACUACGCCCAAAAUUGGUACCAAAUCGAUUAAAUAUUGUCCUUAUGUCUAAAAUUUAAAGAUGUUUUUUUGAAAUGUGGUUCUUUUUUUUAAGACUUGAGUAACCCGAGUUGGUUGCAAAAAAUCUUCUUGUUUCGACUUCCGAAAGCUUAUAAUCCAAAAAUUACAAAAUGGUGCCCAACUAUUUGGUCCAACGAAAAACCGAAACCCAGCACAGCAGGGCUCGAUUCCUCAAAUUUCCAAACACUGAACAUUGCCUCACCUUAGAAAACACGAGUGCAAUUCCGAAGAGAUAUUCGAUUAUUUUGAACAAACGGGAGAUUGCAACCCAGCACGAUAGGGCACUAUUCCCCGAAUUUCCAAACACCGGACAUUUCUUUCAUUUUAAAGGGUUUUUAGAAAACGUGAGUGAAAUUCUGAAGGAAUCUCCGAUUGUUUUGAACAAACGAAAAUGCGUAACCCAGCACGAUAGGGCACGAUUCUCGAAUCACCAAACAUCUAAGAUCACCUUCAUUUUGGGAGGUUUUUUAAUAAACAUGAGUGAAAACCUAAAGGAAUAUCCGAUUAUUUUGAACAAACGAGAAAUCACAACCCAGCACGAUAGGGUAUGACUCCCGAAUUAUCAAACACCGAGUAUUGCCUUCGUUUUAAAGGAUUUUUAGAAGACAUGAGUGAAAUUUUGGAGGGAUAUUCGAUUAUUUUGAGCAAACGCAAAAUUGCAACCCAGCACGUUAGGGCACGAUUCCGCGAAUUGCCAAAAUAUCAAAUCUCAUCUUCGUUUUAAAGAAUUUUUAAAUGAAUAAUUAUAAAACUAGAUUAAAAUGUAUUAAUGCGUUUUUGAAAUGAGAUGAAUUUAACCAUAAAAAUUUGGGUUUAAAAAAACCACAUUUCAUGAACUAAGUGGAAAACGAUGAUAUGGGGGAAUAUGUGUACGCACCAAAACACGACAACAGAAUAGUGGAGGCAAUACAAUUUACUUAACCAACUAACGAGAACUUAAAUGACUAAGCAUAACUAGUUUGGAAAUAUAACUCAAUUUCAACCAUGCAUGGAGAAUAAUUAACAUGACAAUAUGAAACAAAUGAAUAAAUAAUAUGCAACGAAAACAUACAUGGCAUAAUAAAAAUGAUUACUAUUAGAUGCACAAAACAAAAUGCAGAUCAAAUGAGCAAUAUGGUGUAAAACUAUUUUAAAACAAUGAUAAGUAUAUGACACAUACUAUAUGAAUUGAUGAAUUGAUAAGUAAAAAAAAACUUUUGUUAAUGGCAAGCUUAAUAAACACACGCAAUCAUUAGAAUAUAUAUAUAAUAUAAAAGAAUAAUAAUGAAGAUAUAUGACAAGAUAUAAUACACAAAAUAGAUUUAUAAAACAUAUGUACAUGUAAGUUUAUAAAAAAAAACAUGAGAUUAAUGUAGCGACAUAAAAAAUUUUGCUUUCGGUCGCUAGUUGAGUCGAUUUAUUGAAAAUUUGAAAAACGACUUUCGACUUUAUUAAAAAAAGUGAGUCGCCAUCGAUCCUUUUUCCUAGGUGUGAUCGGACACCUAAUAAAUCCUCUUCAUUUAAAAGGAAAUUCAUUUUUUAAACAAAAAAGAAGGCCGAAUUUAGGUCUACGUCGAAAAUCCAGAGAAAAAUAGGGUUCAAGAGUCGGUUACGCACAAGGAAGGUAUUAGCACCCUCGCGACGCCCAAAAUUGGUAUCUUUAUUAAACACGUGUUGUCUUGAUUUUCAAAAAUACGAAUUCAAUUUGACAUUUAACCGUGAUCUGAUUGAAAAAUGAGAAUUUGAAAUUUUGGUUUUUUAGAAGGACAUCCCAUUUUUAACACGAGCCAAUGAUAUCCACCUAACAUAGCGAUGGAAUCAGCGACUUAAUGUUGAAAUCGGUACGUUGCCUUAUUUAUUUUUGAAAUUAAUUAAAACAUAUAAAAAAAAUACCAUAUGCGAUAGGAAAUUGUAAACAAUGUAAGCGAUGAUACAAUUAAUGAAAAAUAUUAAAAUAUAAUAUUAGCAUAAAAAUAACAAUAAUAUUCACAAUAAGAAAAUAAUGUUCUAAUAAAAUCAUAAAAGAAAUAGAUUUGUGGUAAUGAUAAAAAUAUUAAUAUGGACACGAAAAAUACACACAUAUAUGUAUGUUAAUGAUGAUGGUAAUGAUAAUAAAAAUGACAAAUAUUAUGUAAUAUAUGUAACCAAACUUAUAAUUUAAGUAAAAAUGAUAAAAUAAUAAUGGAAUAAAUAUAGAUAGAUAUUAUAUGAAAUAAAAUAAUGAUACAGGAUAAUAGGAAAUUUCGAGAUUACUUAAAAGUGUGAGCGAAUAAAUAAUGAAAUAAAAUUAAAAUUAAUGUACUAUAUAAAACGCAAAUAUAUAUUAAAAAAAAGCUAUAAUAAUAAUAAUAGUAAUUAUUAAUAAAGUAAUAAUAAUAAAAAUAACAAUAGUAAUAUUAGUGAUAAAAAUAAUAGCUAUAAAAAUAAACAUAAUAAUGAUGACAAUAUAGAACAAUAAUAAUAAUAAUGAAAAUAAAAUAAUAUUAAUAAUAUUUUGUAUUACGAUGGUAAAGUAAUAACAAAGGUGAUAAUGAUAAUAAUAAUUAAUAAGUUAAAUUAAUUAGUAAUAAAGUAAUAAUUAAAUAAACAUGAAAAGGAAAGUGUAUAAAAUAAUAAUAAUAUUAAAAUAAGGUAAUUAAAAAUACUACUAUAUAAAUACAUAUAUAUACAUAUAUAACGAAAACAUUCACUAUAUUAACAAUGAUAAUAAUAAUAAUAGUAAUAAUAUUAAAAUACAAAAAAAUAAUAUAAUAUAAUAAGAAUAAUAAAAAAUACUAUAUAUAAAUAUAUAUACAUAAACAAAAAUAUACACUACUAUAUAAUAAUAAUAAUAAUAAUGAUAAUAAUAUUGAAAUACAAAAAAAAACAAAUAUAAUAAAAAUAUUAAAAUAAAGUAAUAAAAAUAAACCUAUAUGUAAAUAUAUAUACAUAUACAUAUAUACUAAAACAUAUACAAAUAUUGAUAAUAAUAAUGAUAAUAAUAAUAUUGAAACAUAAAAAGCAAAUAUAAUAUUAAUAAAAUAUUAAAAUAAAGUAAAUAAAAAUAAUAUUGAAUAUAAAUAUAUAUAUACGUAUAUAAUAAGAGUAUACACUAAUAUAUAAUAAUAAUAAUAAUAAUGAAAAGUAAUAAUAAUAUAUUAAAUAUGUUAAUUUAAUAUGUAAUGGAAAAUAACAAAAAAAAAGUAAAUUAAACCUACAAUGAAAGUUCAGGGCCAAUUUGUAAAUAAAUAAAGAAUAAAAACGAUCAAAUCGAACGCGCUAGCAAUAAAGAGGGACCAAACCUGAAAAUAAUCCUCCCUCUAAAACGCACAGCAUCGGGUAGGACUCCAUUGAAGUCCAGGCACAAAUUCGGGGCAAGAUUGAAAAAACGAAAAAUACUUGAUUGCAAAACAAUAAAAAUGUGGAAGGGCUAAAAACGCAAUUAGCCCUUCCUUAAAAAAAAGUGCGGAUCCUCAGUGGGCGGGUCGGAUCGGGUCGAUUCAGCCCCAAAACGACGUCGUUUUGGGGCUAUUCAGGACACCCUGAAACGGUGCCGUUUAAAAGGGCUAUAAAAGCAAAAAAUUUUUGAGAAGAAUUCAUUUCUGCUAUCUUUCUUAAAAAAAAACUUGGCUGUUCUCUCAAUCCCUCCCUCUCUCCCUCUAAUCGGACUCAAAGUCCGGCAAGCAAGCCGCCGUAUGUCGCCGCCGGUCACCAUCUCCGGCCACCGUUAAAAGGUAUAUAUUUUUAUCCCUUUUUUUUCUAUUUUCUUUGUAUUUAAUAUAUGUAUACAUAUGAGUAAGCAAAUUCGUAAAUAGAAAAAGAAACAAAAAUAAAUAAAUAGAGAGAAAAUAAUAAUAAUAAGAUAAUAUCACCUUUUGCUUUAGAUUUAGACUCUUGGUAUUUCAACUUCCCGAUUUGGGGUUAUUUUCCUUUUUUUGUGUUACUAAGAUCUUUGCUUUUCUCGUAUUUAAAAUCUAAUCCUUUUUUACCACUGUCGAACGUUUUUUAUACUUGCAUAGAAAAUAAAUUUUGCCGAAUCCUCUUUCUGAUUUCGGCUUGGCCUUUUAAAGCCAUGUUACAUGCAUUUUUUAGUAUUAUCUGUCCCUUCUCCUUUUGAUCUUUGCAUGCGAGUGGGUGGUGCUGACAUGGGCGGUGGAGCAGGUGGGGCAGGUGGUUGGUAUGAGGCGAUGGGAUGUCGGCUGAACUUAGGGGGCUAGGGUUUUUUCUUUUUCUGAUUUUGUUUGGGCUAGGGUUAGGUUAGGCUAUUGGGUUUGGGUCUAGUUGGGUUAAAUUUGUUGGGUUUGGGUAUUGGGUCCUAAUGGGUUGUUGGGUUUGAUUUGGUUUGGGUUCAGUAUUGGGUUUAAUUUUGUUGGGUUUAUUUUUGUAAAAGGCCCGGGCUAAUUUGGGCUUCUACAAUUAAUAAUGAGAUAUAUAUAAAUUUUUAAAAUAGUUUCAUAUAUACAUAAUUAUUAAAACAUAUAUUAUGGAAUAAAUAUUUUUAAUCAAAUAGCAUACAAAAUAUUGAGGAAUAUUAGCUAAAAACUAACAAUUUUCAUAAAAAAUUUAAAAUAUGUACCAAAGAUGAAAAGAUUACAAAAAAAAAUGUAUAAUAAAACAUAAUCUUAGAAACAUAAUGAAUUUACACAUCGCGCAUAUAUAUAUAACAUUAAAAGUAAUUAUUCGUAAAAGCAUGUAAUACAUACAAAAUUAACUUGAUUUUAUUGUAAGUUAUAUGAUAGAUUUAAAAGCAUACCUAUAUAGAAAGAAAACCAUACGCGUAGAAUACGCGAGUUUAAUAAUGUAUAGAUUAAAUGUGGUAUCCACAAUGCAUAUACAUAUAAUGAUAAUAACUUAAAAGAUAUUACAUAGGAUUAUAUGAUGCAAUACGAGAAUAAAUUUAAAAAGGAAUCAUGUGCGUAAAAUAAUAUAAGGUUGAUUAAUAUAUACAUGCAAUAAAAUUAAUUUUGAUACAAAGUAUAUAUAUAUAUAUAUAUUAAUAUUUAAAAGAGAUUGUAUAAGAAAAUUAAAAGAGUUUAAUGCAAAAAGAAAUUCGAAGUGGUUAUUUCAUAAAACAAAACAAAAUCAUGCAUGUACAAAUGUAUAUGUAUACAACAAAUAUAAUAUAUUAAAAAACAAGAUAUUGACAUGAUAAAAAUCUGAAAAUAAAGUAAUAAUAAUAAAAGGAUCAAUAUUCAAUGCGUGAAAACGCAUAGGGACUAAAACUGGCAAUAUACCAGAUACCAAAAUGUUACGUUUAGGCGCGGAUUAGAUUGCAAACAAAUGUAAAUUACAAGGAAAAAAUUAAAAAAAGGAAAAAAAGGAGCAGAUGGGCCGAUUUAAACGCAGUGCAAAAGGGGGGGAUUUAACUUGCAAAUAACCCCUCACCGCGAUGACGAGCGGAUCUUGAGAGUCAAAGAACCGGAUCGGGUCGGGCAGAAAGGGGGUGGCCUAGACGAUGUCGUUUGAGACCAUUGUUAUUGGUCUAAACGGUGUCGUUUCUACUACCAUAGAAAGGCUAAACCAUGCCUUCAUUCAGCCGAAACCCUAGAGUAACCCUGGCCUUUCUUUUUUUCCUUAGCCGAACCCUAAGUCACCGCCCUAAACCAACGAUUCCCAUCCCCCCAGGCACGAACCGCUCACCCAAGCCCGGAGGAUGAUUUUUAGCCUCAAAAUCUCCUCUUGGCCUCGACUUUAACAAAGCAGAAGGAGAUCUACGGCAUACCCCCGGUAAGGUUUCGUUUCUUGUUUCUUUUUUCUUUUAUGCACUCAAAACUCGAAAGAACGACUGAAGAUUUAGAAAUAAAUGAACUGGGCCAAGGAUAAAAGAAAAGCCUCAGAGAUUGGAAUCGGAAUCACCUUCGAAUGCUCGUUGCUUUUUUUGUAUAUUGCCUUUGUUUUUCGUUUUCUAUUGCUUCUGUAUGCGUAAAAAAUGGGAACCGAAUGUUCAAAAAAGAAAUAAAAGAAUACAAUUUUUGUUCUUUUUUCGUAUUGGCCAUUGUUGCUGCUGUCAUUUUGUCUGUUUCUUUGCAGGUACGGAGUGUGCAUUGGUGCUCGAGUACGGGGCUGUGCGUUGGCAUCGUACGGAGACUGUGCUGGCGCGGGCGUGGCUGCUAGACGGUACGGAGCAUACGACGCUGGGCUGGGGCUCGUCUGUGGUUGCGGCGCGAAAGUGAGGAGGAAGCUCUAGGGUUUCUUUUCUCAAAACACUGGGCCUAAUGGGCUAGUAAUUGAUAUUGGGCUGUAGGGCAUUGAUUAAUGACUGUUUUGUUUAUUUGGGUUUUAUGUUUAAGUUUGGGCUAUUGGGUUUGGGUUUAAGUUUGGGCCAUUGGGUUUGGUUUUAGGAUAUCUGUAAAUGGACAUUUAUUUAAUUAUUGGGUUUUUUACUAUUUGGUUUGAGGUUAAUGGGCCGGGCAAAUUUGGCCACUACAUUAUUAAUAGAUUUUAAAUUUUUUAUUUAUGAAUUUAAUAAAAUGUUAUAAUUUUUACUGAAAUGAAAUAUAUUAAAAAUAUUGUAAUAAAGUUCAUAUUUUGAUUUAUUUGUGAAAAUUAAAAAACUCAUCAAGUUUAUAUAAAAAUGUAAUUUUUAUUUUAAACAAACGAUAGAAUCAUUUUGUUGCACCAAAGUGCCUAUGUGCUGGGUCGGAUACCACACAAAAUUUUCCUAAAGCUCUUGCCCAAGAGUUAUUUAGGAUGAUGGGCUUUGAUUGAACUGUUAGCCCAAAAGGUUAUAUUAAUAUAUAUAUUAUAAUUAAAUUUAAAUAUUUUUUUAUUUUAAAUGUACGUACCAUUAUACUGAAACUCACAAUAAUAAUAAAUGUAAAUUAAAUUAGUCAUUUAACUACUAACUUUUUAUAAAUAAUGAUUUCGAUUUACAUGUCAAUCUAAGUCAUGCAAAAUGUCUAACGUACCAGCUUAUAUAACCAAAGAAAAGAGUUUAAUUUGUAGGGUAAGGGACACCAUUAAUCAAUAAAUUAUUAAUACAUUUUUAUUUUGGUCAUUGAACUACUUAAAAGUUUUCAUUUAAGUCAAAUUAGAAUGUUAAAAUAAAUGUUACAUGGCUUUUUUAGUUCGCAUUGUCUGCACUAAUCGAAAGCUCUUUUUUCUCAUUCUCUUCUACAAUUCAGUUUUUUUUUAUGAAACAAUUUUGGAUGUCACAAAUUUACGAACCAAAUUUUAAACAACUUUUCUCUCUGAUAUCCUACAUUGAUAUUCACACUGACUUGGAUCUAAAGUAUGUUCUUUUACUCGUCAAUGGAUACUAGUCCACAGUACUAAUCGUCGAAUCGUUGCUUGAAACUCAUUGGUGGAACUUUUAAAAAAAAAACUUAAUAACCUCGUGAUUUAAAUAAAAACUUUUGAAUAGUUUAGUAGCUUAAAUGAAAACUUUAAAAUAAUUCAAUAAUCAAAUUAUAAUUUUUUAAUUAAAUGACCAAAACAAAAAUUUACCCAUAAUUUAAUGACUAAUGGUGCAAUCUACACUAAUUUGUAUCACUAAAUUAUUUUAAGGGAUCGUGAGGUGUGGUGUGACAAUACUUGUUACAGAUAGGCAAAGUUUUCAUCAAAAUUUGAAAGAAACCUAGUGCACUAGUUAUAUAAGCUUUAGGGUAAAUUACAUCAAUUGUCUCUAAUCUUUGAUUAAAAUUAUAUUAUAGUCACUUAAUUUUUAAAAGUUAUAUAAUUGUCACUAAAAUUAUCGAAAUGUUACAUUUUAGCCAUUCAUCCGUUAAGAAGAUGAUAUGGCACAUUAAUUUAAAGGGUUUGUCCCUGAACAAUAAUUAAAAUAUCAAUUUGAUACUUUUAAAAUUUUUCUUAAUAAUAAUUCUAAAAAAUUAAAGGGUAAAUUACACAGAUAGUCACUUAAGUUUUAAUGCAUUCCUAUUUUGGUUACCAGAUUCUUUUUUGUUAAUUUAGUCACUUCCAUUAGAUUAAUUGUCAUUUUUAGUUACUCCAUCGUUAAAAUACAUUGGUACUGAACGGAAUGUUGAUGUGGCAAUCUUUUGAUUGGUGUAAUAACAAAUUUAACCCUUAACACUUUACACAUUCUAUCUACUUGGUCCUAUGUUGAAAAAAAUCAACAAAUUUAACUCAAUGUUUACACAUUUUUAUCAAUUUAGUCCAAAUUCAAAAAAUCCAAAAAUUUUAUAAUUUUAAAAACUUAAAAAAUAUAUAUAAUUUAUUAUAAAAAGACAUAAAACUAAAAAAUAAUUAAAAAUAUAUAUAAAAUUACUUGGUUAGGUUUUGAUGGUAGAUGAAAUAAUUUAUACUUUUCUUUGGCUGAUGCAAACUUGGUUUAUACCAAUGGGGGAAUAGGCUCCGCAAGUGAUGCUCACUGAUCAAAACAAUGCCAUAAAAGUAGUUGUAGUUGCUGUGUUUCCUGCUACACGACAUUUUUUCUGUGUUAUGGCAUGUCUUGGGUGACUAUUUAAGUAAUUUACCUUUUUUAGAAUUAUUAUUAAGAAAAAGUUUAAAAGUAUCAAUUUGAUAUUAUAGUUAUAGUUUAGGGGCUAAAUUGGUUAUUAAACCUUCAAAUUAACAUGUUUUGUCAUUAUCUUAAUGAAAGUUAACGGAUGAGUGACUAAAAUGUAAUAUUUCAAUAACUUCAGUGACAAUUAACUUUUCAAAGUUGGAUAAUUAAAAUAUAAUUUUAAUCAAAUGUUAGUGAUAAUUGAUGCAGUUUACUCUAAAUUUAUAUAUAUAUAAGCACCAUAUUAAUAGAGUUUAAUAAAUAUUCUUUUCGUAUAAUCAAAACCGGAUUAGAUUAGAUUAAUCAAUGGUUGAAUAGGUUACAUAUAUUCGGAAAUAAUGAAAAUUGUUUUGAACUGAAAAUUUGAGAGUUGAUAUGGGAUAUUGAGAUGAGGAGAAAAAGGAAGUUAUAUUUGUAUAAGAAAAAGUUUGAAAGUAUUCAAUCAUUUUUGUGAAAUAAUAUUGAACAAAUUUAUUAAUAAAAUUUGAACAUUCAUAAUGUUUUCUCAAAAUUACAAACUUCAUCACCAGACUAGCGUCGAUUUCUUGUGAAAAAGGGAUUAAUUAAAAAGUCAACAUGCUUCCUUUUAAUGAAAUCUUAAAAGAAUGAAUUAAUCAAACAGUAAAUUGUUGACCAAUAUUUUCCGGGAAGUAGCUUUCAGAUGCUUAAAAAGUAACAGUGUAUUUUACAAUAUUAUCAGGCUACAUGGCCUCACUUUGUAUUGAAUAUAUAUUAUAAACGAAAGCAAAGAACAAAAAUACAAAAUAAAUAAAGAAAAUUACUUAGUGCUUUAACUUAUUACAAAGGGAUUUGUCUCCUUAGUAUGUUUCUACCAUGGGAGAUCCCCACUUUUAUCCCAAAUAUCAGGUUAUCAUUACGUUGCCUUGGAGACAUCCUUACUUGACCUAUUGUACUUCAUAUGGCUCCUAACUAGUUGUCCUGCUGAAAUUGCAGACAUAAGCGACAGCUCCCCCGCAAGAACAGCAGACGCUACAAUGGUUGCCAGCGUCCUAGAGUUUGCUCCUGGUGUCUCUUUGCUUGCACCCUUCACUCCAAGUAAGUUCAAACAGGCUGAUUGAGAUGCAAGCUGAGUUCCACCACCAACAGUCCCAACCUAAAAGAUACAGCAACACAGAUAAUUAGGGACUAACAUAAAUACCCAGAUUUUGUUUUGGCAACGGAAGUCCUUGUGUUGGACAAUCAGACAGCAACACUAUCAAUUACCUCGAUGGAAGGCAUUGUGACAGAGACGUGGAGGUCCUUGCCAUCAUUAACAGCUUCCAUCAUCGUGAUGCAAUGCGAGCUCUCGACGUUUUGAGCCGGAUCUUGGCCGGUAGCUAUGUAGAUUGCAGCAACGAUGUUACUGGCGUGAGCGUUAAAUCCACCCAGAGCUCCAGCCAUAGCUGAUCCAGUAAGGUUCUUCAGCAUGUUAAGCUCAACGAGAGAUUCCACACUUGUCUUCAAGACCUUCCUAACCACAUCACCCUUAAUGGUGGCUUCACAGACAACAGAUUUGCCUCGUCCUUCAAUCCAAUUUACCGCAGCCGGUUUUUUGUCGGAACAAUAGUUUCCUAUAUGCAAAAAUUCAUAAAUAUCAGUGAUCCUAUGUCGGAUAGUAAAAGACAUAAUUGCAAGCCUAUACAAAAAAAUGAAACUCACCAGAGAUGCCAAUGACAUCCAUGUCAGGGAAAUCAGUCUGAAGGAAAUCCAAAACAUUUUGCACUCCCUUGGAAACCAUGUUCAUCCCCAUAGCAUCACCUGUACUGCAAGUGAAUCUAAUAUACAGAUUCUUUCCAGCAAUUGCACAUUUGAUACCCUGGAGCCUGCCAAAUCUACUUGAUCUGCAACCACCAAAAAGCCAAAUUUUCAAUAUUAGCUUGAAUUUUAAAUCAAUCAAUAUGGAGUUCUAGAAAUAUAAAAACAAACCUGUUGAAAACAACAGACAAGGUCUCGAAAUUAUCAGGGUCCUCCAAAUACAACUUCAAAUCAGCUGCCCUUUUCGCAUUACCGAACCUUACACAUGGAGCUCUAGUCAUACCAUCUUUCAAUAGAACACUUGUAGCUCCACCAGACAAAUGAAUAGCCUUACAGCCCCUAUUAGUGCUAGCCACCAAGCACCCUUCCGUGGUAGCCAUAGGAACCGAGUACUCUCUUCCAUUAACCAACAAAGGCCCGGCAAUUCCAACGGGAAUUUGCACGUAGCCAACCGGCAUCUCACAACACUGCCCUAGAAUCGACUCGUAAUCAAACCCAUCCAAGGGCAAUCCAGAUAACGACUUCCCUGUUAAUCUUUGCAACGCUUCCCGCCUGAUUGCAGCCGCCCUCUUGCAAUCACCCAAUUUCAAUUCCAAGGAAUACGAAGGGGUUGUACCAGCCACUACAGAUUUAAUUAUUUCUUCAUCUUCCUCCGUUAGAACCGUCACAGGCUUUUCAUCGAACACCUUCUGGACGGUCACGAUUGGUGCCGCAGGAGGCAGAGGUGGAAGCGAACAAUCGAGAGCUUGCCCGCAAGGGACCUUACGGGCAUCUUCCUUUGCAAGCAGAACUUCAUCAUCCUCUUCCUCGGCAAUCCAAACGUCAGGCGAUGGUUGGAAAACCAAAGAUUGAACGAAGUCAAUCCCAAAGAAACCCAAAAGGUAAAUAAAGGACGCGAAAAAUGAGAGAAUGGCGAUGAUCUCUGAAAAGGUGACGACAUGGAGAGGUGUGGAGGUACGGAUCUUCUCACGCCAACGGGAAAGAAGGAAAUAAACCACCGAGAAGAAGAGGGUGAAGAACAGGGCAUUCGUUAGGUACAAGGGAAGCGGCAGUGCGUCGGAGGCUUUACCGGUAUCUUCCUCUAAAGAAAUCUUCUUUGUUGGCUUGAGAGCUUGAACAGGUUUAGUAGAAGAUAGCCGGU
Molecule: long non-coding RNA, 66295 nt
Filed under: Gossypium barbadense (sea-island cotton)
Lineage: Eukaryota; Viridiplantae; Streptophyta; Magnoliopsida; Malvales; Malvaceae
Description: long non-coding RNA (GBAR_LNC002719)
Source: RNAcentral